This 67539-nucleotide long non-coding RNA is filed under the name Triticum aestivum (bread wheat). Its description in RNAcentral is "long non-coding RNA (TAES_LNC012208)". The stretch from base 484 to 598 matches the Rfam family "MIR1120/MIR1122 microRNA precursor family". The record is from RNAcentral. Lineage: Eukaryota; Viridiplantae; Streptophyta; Magnoliopsida; Poales; Poaceae.
GAUGUGUAUCAUAUUUAUGUGAUGCUAACAAUGUGACAUUGAUCUCCAGGUAAGCUUUAUCUGCCGUCAGAUUAGUUGAGGCCUUGCGGGUGGCAUGUAAGACUGGUUUAUGAAUAAGAGUUGUCGCACCUCUCUCCGGAGGUGAGGUGUGAUUGUCCAGCAGUUUUGCUGCUACUUUCGCAUUGGCUUGUACCAGUAAUACUAGGUUCGAGGGUCUGAACUUUGUUGUAUUGAAUGUUACACCCAUGUAAUAGUUUUCUUUGCACCUGUUAUCUUUGAUGUCAAGUUAAGUGUACUUCCUGUUCAAAAAAAAUAAAAAGUGUACUCAAGCACUGGCUUAUGUUUAUUGAUUGCAGUGGUGGAUUGUAUUCAGUUACUUUUGGUGUUCCUAUUCAUCAGUGAGAAAAGGAAAAUCCACUUGCUUUUGUCUUUCGAUCACACUCGUAUUGAGGAAGGGGAUUGUUCAUUGGAUAUUGUAUAAGAUUACUACUCCCUCCGUUCGGAAUUACUUGUCGCGAAAAUUGAUGUAUCUAGACGUAUUUUAGUUUUAGAUACAUCUAUUUUCAAGAUAAGUAAUUCGGAACGGAGGGAGUACUCUGUAAAUAUGCAUAUAGCCUUGUUUUGGGAGAGUUUAUUUCUCCUCUGAUUGUAAACCGCUUGUCUAUAUUUGAGUAUAAUCAAACACAAUAAGCUACACUAGUGUCAAAAAACAUCUUAAAUUAUGGGACGGAGGGAGUACGCAUCAAGGCUGAACGCUCUGUGCUAGCAACGUCGGCGCCACGUCGGCGCUGGACCUACGUGCUCGCAAUCUAGGCUAAAUUUGCGAUGGAUCCUUUCCUUCCCUGCGAAGGUAAAAGCGGCUCCGGAUUUGACCUCUCUCGUUUCCUCAAAACCCUCUCCUUCCGCCUCCGCCGCCACACCCCUCUGGUUUGAAGUUCACACAUGCGACCUCUCUCCCAUGUAACUGGCCGGCAUGAGUGUCACCAGCGGGAGAGCAUGCAGCCACACCAACGUCGUUGCCUCGAGGGAGGAGUGGGUGGGAGAAGGCGGCGGCGGCGGCGGUUUCGGUCUGUGAUCUGCUUCGACGCGGGAGGCGGCGGACCGAUCCAGCGGAAGUGGCUGUUGGGAGGAUGGGAGGAAGAAGCCAACUGAGGGCCAGCAGGUCUGGAUCCGUGUGGCGUCUCCCCCGUCAGGUCUUCAAUGCCCGCCCCCUCCUUUUUCCAUCUCCUCCCUCUUGAUUCUUGGGUGUUAUUUCGUCAAAUCGGGGUGAUUUUAGCUUCCCCCAAAGCAACACGCUCAUCACCUAUGCCCAUCCUCCUUGUCUCAUUAUCGUCUCCAUCAGGCAGGUGAGAUAUCAUGCUUCCUCUCUGGGUCUCUAAUUUCAUGCUGCUAUUCUACUGUGUGUUGUAUGCCAAAACUUAUUGGAGAGUUGAGUGGCUUUCAGUGGUCUGCACCACACCGGGUGUGGUGGCCGGUGGAGUUGACUUAUUAGCUCGCAUGCACUUGCUUAAUUAAUUUUGCAUGGCGGUGAUGAUUUCCGCUGGUUUUCCAUAUGACUAGGUGAUUGUCCGAUGGGUUAUGCGUCCAUGCGCGUAAAUAAUCAGGUUUGUGUCAAGGACACAUGAUUUUCUCUACUCCCGCAUGUCCUCUGCUGUAUUUUCUACCAAGGACGAAAGCUAGAGGUGGAUGCAAAUUUCUUGCUCAUGGGUUGUUAAUGAGGUAACCUUCAUGGUGAAUUUGUUAAUUCAUUUUAUGAAUUAAUAAGUAAAACAUCUUUUCUAUUCGAAUUGAAUCUAUUCAAGGAGCCUCUCAGGCAACAACAACAUCUGCUUCUUGUUUCGGUUAUAAAGCUUGGGCUGUCUAAAGCUGAAAAAUUCAGUGAUGUGUUAUAUGUACAGUAUGAGUUUCACUAUUAUACUUGAAAAUGUUGAUGUGUUGUUCUUUCCCCUCUCGCACCUAUAGUUAUGGGUUCACCAAUUAUACUAUACUUAUUCCAUUAUCUUCAGUAUCAAGCUGGUAUCUCUUGAUGUGUGCAAUGGUCGAACAAAUACUUUAUGAUAUGAUUUUUUUCCUAUCAAGUUGAUACUAGAUUUGUUUGUUGGUUUGUGCUGUUCAUUAGUUCUUCCUUCGCUUGAUGUUCAGCGCGUUGGUGCUGCAUGGAAGCAUUGGAAGCGAAAAAAUAUUCACAUACCUAAAUGUAAGUGCAUCUCCCCGUCUUAAUUUAGGUUGACCUUGCAGUCUCGCUUACCUGUUCUGCUUCGCCCAUCGUUCAAUGUAGUUUAUGUUGAAUAGCUAGGUUGGUCCAUGAGAUCAGAAAUUGUACUGCCGUUUAUUUAACCCAGCUGCUACAUUGUAUAUUGAGUACAAGUGCGUCGUUUAUCAGUCUGCACUUCUGGACCAAAACCAGUUUUGCAUGGUCAUUUCUUUAAAGAAAGGUUCAGAGCUUCUCCAGAAGGAAAGGAAAAAUACCACCUGAACUUUUAGCUUUCCACAUAUGUGUGAUCACUUGCUGAGUUUUCCACGUCAUAAGCUUUUCUUAUGAAUUUAUGGGAUUUUAGAUUUUAAUCGGGUCUCGCAGUUCUGAGUUUUAAUUCAUGUGCAACAGUCACAAACAGAUCUGUCUUGCAUUCUAAAUAUUGCAGCCUUGAACUUAUUUACAUUUCAGUUAACUUUUGUUCACAAGUGACUGCCACUGUUCUGAAUCUGCAAAUUGUAGUUGAAUUCUUUAAUACAUCUAUGCCAUCUAUAGAAAAGCAUGUCCUCACGUGGCACUGUGCAAGACCACAACGAUGAACAUCACUUGGCGAACAAGUCUCGAAUCAAUUUCGAUUUGCGAUGGUCUGCUCAGAGGGCGUUCUGGCGAUGCGUGGUUCCGUCCUAUUUUAGUAGGGAUGUAUCUCUUCUACAAUCUUUUGGUACUUUUGUAGAUUAGGAUGUUUAUUUUUUUUUAUCGAAAAAGGCUUUCGCCCCGCUUUAUAAAUAAAGCAACCACCAGGCACAAAUUAUUAAGGUAACAACUGAACACACCAACACAACGCCACCGCAGACAAGGUCCAACACUCACACACACAAACAUAUAGGCCCAAGUUCAGCUGUGGGCACAACAUAACAAGCCCAACACAUGAGCAUGACAAUACAACACAUAGACGGCGGUGGCGGUGCCGAGAUGACGACGAUCUAAUCUGGUUUCGGUGGUGGCGGGGGAAGCGGUGGAGCCAACCAGAGAGCCAUCGCACGAAGCUGGGUGAUGAUGGUGGUGAUGACGUCUCUCUCCCUGGGACGGCUAAGCGGCGGCCAAAGCUGCAAGUAGCCAGACCAUUUGAACAAAGCGUCAGUAGCACGACGAAGAGGAAUACGCUGAAUCACAAGUUUAUUCCUAACAGUCCACAGCGUCCAGGCAAGCACCCCAAUGGUCAGCGACCUAAUGUGGCGCACCGAGGGUGGGGUCGCCUGGAGUUCGGCGAAGAGAGCGGGAAAGUUGUUGUGGUCCCAGCUUCCACCCACUAUCUCGCGGAAACAGCUCCAUAGGAACUGCGCGGACACGCAUGUGAAGAAGAUAUGGUUCGAGUCUUCUUCAGGCCCACAAAGCGGUCAACACCCAUCACCGGGGCCAUUGCGCUUCAGGACCUCCACACCGGAUGGGAGACGACCUAGAAUCCAUUGCCACAAGAAAAUCCUAAUUUUCAGAGGGAGGCAGAUCUCCCAGAUGGAGGUGAGCGCCUCAUGGCCAAGCGAGGGGGCGAUGGCCUGGUAGAGAGAUUUAGUGGAGAAUUGCCCAGAAGGCUUUAGACGCCAUCUGGAACGGUCAUCUUCAGUCGUGAGAUCAGGCUCGUGUAGUGCAAUGCAGUCAAGCAGCUCCUGCCAGUCCGCGUUCUCAGCCGGGCCAAAAGGUCUCCAGAACGCGAGUUGCCCUAAGUCAAUAAGGGCUGUCGCGACAGAAAUCCGUAGGGCACUCGCGAUUGAGAACAAGUCAGGAAAGCGGGCCACGAGGGGCAUGUCUCCAGUCCAUUUAUCGAACCAGCAGAGUGUGGCGGUGCCGGACCCCACCUCGACCGAGGUCCCAAACCGGAGGACUGGGAGGAGCUUGAUGAUGGAUUGCCAGAACUGGGAGCCCCCAGACCGCUGGCAGAAGGCGAGAGGCUAGCCGCGGAGGUGUUUCUGCUGAAUGAUGCGAAGCCACAGGCCACCAUCUCCGUUGGCAAUUCGCUAGAGCCACUGAGUCAGGAGGGCCAUGUUCAUGCAUUUGGAGGACAUGAUCCCGAGUCCGCCCUGGUCGCGAGGUUUGCAGAUCUCUGACCACCGAACCAUGUGGUACUUCUGCUUAUCUCCCUAGCCGGCCCAGAAGAAACGCCCCUGAACAGUGGCAAUCUCGUGAUGAAGAGUCUCCGGAAGGCUAUAGAAGCUCAUGAUGAAUAAGAGUAGGCUGGAGAGGGAAGAGUUAAUGAGCACCGUACGGGCCGCUUUCGAGAGCCACCGACCCUGCCAGGGCUCGAUACGGUGCUGAAGCUUUCCCACCGAGGGGCGUAGCUCGACCACUGUGAGCCUGGAGUCACUAAUGGGUAUCCCUAGAUAAGUUGUGGGGAAGCACCCGAGCUGGCAGUUAAGCCGAUUCGCAAUGUUGUGUCGCUCGUCUUGGGAGUAGCCCAAUACCAUCACCUCACUCUUGUCGAAGUUGAUCCUGAGGCCAGACAUCUGCUGGAAGCACAUCAGAAGGAACUUGAGGUUCGUGAUAUCGCUCGUCGAGAUUUCCACCAUAAUAAUGGUAUGAUCCGCAUAUUGGAGAAGGGAGAUCCCGUCCCCCCCACACACACAAGAUGCGGGACUAUGCCCUUAAUAUGACCCGCAGCCUUGGCUUUAUCUAGGAUGGCCGCCAGAGCAUCGACAAUCAUGUUAAACAAGAAAGAUGAGAAGGGAUCGCCCUGGCGCACCCCACUGAAUGUGGGGAAGAAUGGGCUGAUCUCUCCAUUAAUGUUCACCGUGGUUCGGCCCGAGGAUACUAUCUACAUCACCCUGGUCACCCACCUGUCGUCGAAGCCCUUACGGAGCAAACAUUUCCGAAGGAAGGACCAAAUGACCGUGUCAUAAGCCUUGUGGAAGUCCAGUUUCAGGAAGACUGCCUUGAGGUGUUUGGUGUGAACCUCAUGGAGUGCUUCGUGGAACACCAGGACUCCGUCGAGGAUAUAACGGCCCUGGAUGAAGGCCGACUGAUCAGGGUGAGUGAUCCGAUCGGUGAUAGGGGCCAUCCUAAUGGCGUACCCCUUCACGAGGAUGCGGAAGAUGAUGUUAAUCACCGUAAUCGGCCGGAAUUGGCGGAUAUCCGAGGCCCCAAUCACUUUGGGGAUGAGGGUGAUUACCCCAAAGUUCAGCCGGGCGAGGUCGAUGGACCCAACAAAGAUCUCGUCAAAUAAGGCCAUCACCUCAGGUUUGAUCACCUCCUAGAAAGUCUGGGAGAACUUCACUGGGAGGCCAUCCGGGCCAGGGGCCGAGGAUGGGUUCAUGCCUUAAUUGCCGCCCAAUUCAGCCCCAGAGAACGGAGCCAUAAGGGCCGCGUUAUCCGCAGGCGAGACGCAACUGUGGGCAGGACAAAUGUCUUGCGCAAGGGCAAGACCUCCCUGAGGGGAGGCAGAGAAAAGGUCUCUGUAAAAGCCGUCUACAUGGGCCCAGAUGUCCUCCGGCCGCUGCAGGAGGGUCACGCCUUCCAAAGGAGGGGGGUGGAGUUACGGCGUCGCGGCCGUUAGCUAUGCCUGGAAGUAGGCGGUAUUGGCAUCCCCCUUGAGGACCCAAUUCUACGUACCCCGCAAACGCUAGUAUGCCUCCUCGUCGGUGUAGAUGACCGUGAGCUGGUCUUCCAGGUCGUACCUAAGCAUCCAUUCAUCGGCCGAGAGGCCUGUGGCAUCAGCAUGUAGGUCGAGGGCUUGGAUGCCCUCAAGGAGGGCUUUCUUCCACUCACGGAUGCCCCGGCCUACGUUUGCACCCCAUCCUUUCAUGAAUUGCCGUGACCGCUUGGCGCAGAAGUGCCAGUUAUCGACGGCCCAGAGGGACCGAUGGGGGGCAUCACGCGUCUUGCGCCACUAGGCGACCACCGCAGCGGUAAAUCCAUGAUGCCAUAACCAGAAGGUUUUGAAAUGGAAACAGGGCGGCAGGGGGGGCGCUCAUUCUUAGAAGAGAGGAGGGGUACGUGAUCUGAACCAAUCUGCAUAAUUGCCCGAAGCAAGGCUAGGGGGCAGCGUAUGUCCCACUAAGGGGAGGCGAAGACCCUAUCGAGGACUGAGCGAGUCGGCUCAACUUGUCGGUUUGUCCAAGUGAACCUGGCCCCGACUCGAUCGAGCUUGCGAAGCCCUAUGUCAGUGAUGCAGCCAUUGAACAUCUGCAUCUGAGAAAAGUUCACUAAAUUAGUGCUCUUGUCUUCUUCCGUCCGGAUGGGGUUGAAAUCGCCACCUACCACGACCAGUAGCUGGUUGGCUACCACCUUCCUCCGAAGUUCAGUGAGGAAGGCCUCAAAACGGCGGUGGUCGGCCGGGCCAUACACCGCAAUGAUUUCCCAUUUGAAGUUUAGGGCCCACUUGAAAAUCUCCAUGCUAACGAAGAACUCGCCCCGGUCCAUGCUUCCCACCUCAAAGGUGGCAUCCUUCACUCCUAAUAGGAUGCCACCCGAGUGGCCCGUACUACCACUAGAAGGGAGCCAAUGCCAAGCAAAUUGGUCGGAGCUCAAAUGCUCGAGCUCCGACAGGGAAAAUUCCGUACGCAUCGUUUCUUGAACGGCCACAGUGUCGAUUUGUUCGGUCUGCAUGUACUCUAUCAGUUGGCGGCGUCGGCCAUUUUGGCCGAAACCGCGGAUGUUCCAGAAGAGGGUCCGCAUCACACAUCCAUCGAGGGGCUGCUUGACCCCAAGACGCGUGAAGCGCUCUGGGCGCUCUGGGCGGUGGUGCGGGAGCGGGUGUGGCCUCGUAUCUCAAUCGGAGAGUCCGUGGUGCAUGGCGGGACACUCAGGGUAGCUCCGGUAGGAGCGCCCGAGGAGGACGGGAGGCGUGCACGGGCCUCGGCAAGGUGCCCAUCGAGGAUUUCCCGUGCAUGGAUAGCCUCGAUCUGAACUAGCAGGGGCAACCUCUCCCCGAAACACUAUGGCCGAGUCCACCGCCACCUUAGCGGGGUGGCCAAGCGGAGCCGACUCCAAAGCAGAAAAGGAACAUGUAGCAGAGGUGGCCGAGAUGGACGGGGUACCUGGCUCGAGGUUUCGGGCAGCGGCCCGGAGCGCAGCCCGCUCGAGGAUAGGCAGAGCAGGGCUACCCGCCGAUCUGGCCGCCUCGAUCCGAGCACUGUGGUGCGAGGAAGACACCGGGGUCGAGGUCGAUCUGUCCCUCCUGGAGUAGGCCGCAGACCGAGGGGGAGGCGGGGAGGAGGGGGCGGCCACCAGGGUGGUCACCACCACCAACUUCCCAUCGGCGGGGGAGCACGGAGGCGCCAGAGACGGAGCGGGGAGCGCUGAGCAGGGAGCACCAGAGGGGGCCAGCGGAGCCGAAGUCACAACGGCCUCUGGAGGCGGGACGACCGACUCUAGGACCGGGUUGAACGCCUCCACGGGGUGCGCAGGGGGGACGGGGCCGGGGUUGACCCCAUCGCCCCUAGCGGCUCCUCCAGGAGUGCAGCAGCCGGCGGUGAAGAUGGCACGAGCGGGACCAGGUCGUCCUGGGUGGGGAUGGAGGCGAAGAUGCCAAGGGUGGUACCGUCGGGGGAGCGAGGCGAAGACACCGGGAAGACCUGCAGGCUUGCAUCCGUCAUCGGGCGACAGGGGAGCCAUAGCGUGGACACAGCCGGCCCCAGCACCGCCCCUGGCAGCCGGCACGGGAGGCUGAUCGUGGGGUGAACUGUCCUCGGAGUCAUCGUCGUCCUCCUCCGAGUCGGAGUGGUGGCCUUGGCGGGGAUCCCGGUCACCGUGGUGGCCCCCCGCACCACCCCCAUCCGGAGCUCCCCCCCAAGAAGCUGUCGUCAGGGAUGCGGGGGCGGCCAAUGAUAGUUUAAUACUCCCCCCGUCCCAAAAUAAGUGUGUCAACCUUAGUACAACUUUGCUAGUACAAAGUUGAGACACUUAUUUUUGGACGGAGGAGGUAGUAGUCAAGAUAUGGGAUCUGCAUGUCCAUUUUUUUACUGCAUAUAUCUGUUUUUACUCUUAAUUACGUGUCUCGGAGUAUUAUGCCCAUGCAAGAAGCAAAAGCCAUAGCCUCUCCAACAAGGUUUUCAAUAUUAAGGGGGGAAAUUGAAGGUGUAUAAGGUAAAUAUGCAGAGCUCUAGGUAUAUUCAGUAAUCCAUUUUCUUUAUACCUUUCAUUAUAAUUAAAAAUGAGGAAAUACGAAUGAGGUGCCUCCUGUCAAUUGCAAUCACAGAUCUAAGAAUCCCCCUUUAAAUGUAAUUGAUAAAAUGAUCAAAGAGUAAUUGUCCCCCCCCCAACUACGUAGAGAAAGUGUGAGAACCACACAACUAUAGGACUAACCCUGAAUGAUUGCUUAUCAGUUUCAGGUACUACAAUUAUUGUGUAGAUUCAAGUAGUGUGAUAUAGUAGUUACCAUGUCAUAUAUCUACACAAGAGAAGUUUGUGUGAAGCACCAGUAUAGGAUAGCUUUUGAAAAAUUUGGGAAGCCCUGAAGGACAUGGUUAGAAGUGGCUGCAUAGAUGGUAUGCACAACAUUGCUUUGCAAACCUUUAGGUGCUAGAUUGAAUCACUAGGAAGAAGACCAACUGUGGCAUGACACUAGUAGAAAAGGGGGCAAUGGUCCAGGCCAGGUCAGCCCAUUAGUCCCGGUUCAAUCCAGAACCGGGACCCAUGGGGGCAUUGGACCCGGUUCGUGAACCCCGGGGGCCGGCCGGGCCACGUGGGCCAUUGGUCCCGGUUCGUCUAGACCUUUUGGUCCCGGUUGGUGGGACGAACCGGGACCAAUGUGCCUCGCUCCUGGCCCACCAUCAUUGGUCCCGGUUGGUGGCCUGAACCGGGACCAAAGGCUGCCCUUUAGUCCCGGUUCGUGCCACGAACCGGGACCAAUUAAUUGCCUAUAUAUACCCCUCGCCCGCGAGCAGAGCACUCCCACUGCUCUGUUUUUCCUAGCCGGCGAGGAGAGAGCUUUGUGGUGCUCUAUCUCACCUCCUAUGCACACGAGGUGUUCGAUGGAAUGCCUGAGCCACACUACUUAAACUUUCUCCUCUCCAAGCUCGACCUCCAAGCUCCAUUUUCCUCAAUAUUUAUCUAGGUUUAGCGGUCCGUCACGUCCCGUCCCCGUCUUCACCGCCGUCGAUCGCCCGCACCGAUCUCGUCGUCGGCACCACCGUGGUGAGCCUCUUGUUCUUAUCUUCUUUCUAAAAGGAAAAAAAUUCUUACUUGUAUGUUUAUAUAGAUACUUUUAUAAUUUUUUUACUGUUAUUAUUGCAUCUUAUAUAGUGUGAUGGUUUUGGUAUCCGCCCCCGUUAGCUCUCGUCCUGCCUAUGAUUCGGAUGUGGUAUAUAUAUUAUCUUUUCAUAACUAUUGGUUCAUUUAUUGUUUAUGACAAUUAUGCCGACCAACGUGACAUAUAUUUUAUUUAUCUAGGAGGUUGUUGAACCGAAAAUUCCAACCGACCCUAUUGUCGAGAGGUUAAAUUUAGUUGAAGAAAAAAACAAUUUCUUGAAGGAAAAAAUAAGAAAAAUUGAGGAGGAGAAGAUGAUAUUGGAGUUGCAUGUUGCGGAUGUCAUCGAUGAUCACAAGAUCAAGAUGGAUGCAAUGCGCUUGAAGAUUAGAAAGAUUAGAAAAUAUGCCAUUCAUACCAAGGCUUGGUAUCAUUAUGUCGUUGGAUCAGUUGUUACAUUGGUUGCGAUUAUGAUCGCAUUUGUUUUCGCAUUGAAACGUGAAAGGAUCAAUAUAGUUGACUAGAGGGGGGGGGGGGUGAAUAGGCAACUAACAAUUUUUAGCUUUUCUUUACCAAAUUAAACUUUGCAUCAAAGUAGGUUGUCUAGAUAUGCGACUAGGUGAACAACCUAUAUGAUGCGACAACAACAAGCACACGAGCAAGCAAGGGAAACAACACAAGUAAGCUUGCAAAAGUAAAGGCGCGAGAUAACCAAGAGUGGAGCUGGUGGAGACGAGGAUGUGUUACCGAAGUUCCUUCCUUUUGAGGGGAAGUACAUCUCCGUUAGAGCGGUGUGGAGGCAUAAUGCUCCCCAAGAAGCCACUAGGGCCGCCGUAUUCUCCUCACGCCCUCACACAAUGCGAGAUGCCAUGAUUCCACUAUUGGUGCCCUUGAAGGCGGCGACCGAACCUUUACAAACGAGGUUGGGGCAAUCUCCACAACUUAAUCAGAGGCUCCCAACAACACCACGAAGCUUCACCACAAUGGACUAUGGCUCCAAGGUGACCUCAACCGUCUAGGGUGCUCAAACACCCAAGAGUAACAAGAUCCGCUAGGGAUAAGUGGGGGGAAUCAAAUUUCUCUUGGUGGAAGUGUAGAUCGGGGCCUUCUCAACCAAUCCCGAGCAAAUCAACUAGUUUGAUUGGCUAGGGAGAGAGAUCAGGCGAAAAUGGAGCUUGGAGCAACAAUGGAGUUUAUGGUUAGAAGAGGUAAGUCUUCUUGGAGAAGAAGACCCCCUUUUAUAGUGGGGGAACAAUUCCAACCAUUACCCACCACUCAGCCCGCGACCCACAAAACUACCGCACCUCAGGUGCGGUACUAUCGCACGGGCCUGCGGUACUACCGCGGCGAGCCGCGGUACUACCGUGGGCACGACAGAGACCAGACCUGACAAAAGGAGUACUAACAGGGCGCGGUAGAUCCGCAAGAGCGGUACUGCCGCGGCCCCAUACGGUACUACUGCAAGACAGCCGCAGGCCAGGCCCGGUAGGCACAAAUGUAAAAAAAUUACAUCCGUGACUACCUCCGCUGAGAAAUUGUCGUGCAAAAAUCUGACACGGAACUACCACGACCAUGGGUGCGGUACUACCGUGAAAGGUGCGGAUGUAAAAAAAUUACAUCCGCCCUUACCUCCGCACUUGCUACUGAACCUGGCCUGGUGUCACGGUACUACCGCGCCGCAGCACGGUACUACCGCGAGGAGCACGGAUGUAAAAAAUUACAUCCAUGCCUACCACCGCUUGAGCAGCGGUACCAGACCAGAGCUCGCGGUACUACCGCUCUAAGGAGCGGUACUACCGUGGGAGCCUAUGCUACUACCGUGCCGGAGCCCGGUACUAUCGCUGGCUCCUACGGUAGUACCGCUCAGAAGAGCAGUACUAUCGCUAGCCUGAGAAGAGCAAGGCGGAGGCCUUCAAAUCGCAGAGACAAGGUGAGACGGAGGAACACUCCAAGGAGCUCGAGGAAAGGCGGUGCAAAAGGGAAUGUGUACGUGAGAUUCCACCCAAACCUUUCCAAAGCGGACCCCCUCUUAAUAGUACGGCUCUCCUACGACUCAACUCCACCGAACCGAACCGUAGAGAAACGCCGUCUUCAAUAAUCUUCGAGGGACAUCAAAUCGUCUUGUGUUUAGUCGUGAUGAAUCUGAAAAGCUCAAUACACAUGAUUAGUCCGCAAAGGCAUUGUCAUCAAUCACCAAAACUACUUAGGGACAAGAAUGCCCUUACAAUCUUCCCCUUUUUGGUGGAUUGAUGAUAAUACGAGAUUUGCACUAGGGAGAUGAAUAUAGCACAAGCAAACCCCACAUUUCUAAAAUAUGGAUGAACUCCCCCUAGAUUCGUGAUAGAGAGUAAAGUGCUUUGGACUGCACGACAUGAAUACUAGGAUCACCACUCCCCCUAUAUUUUAGAAACAAAGCAUAUCUUGCAAUGGUAAGGCUGACACUAAACAAGAUAGUAGAUAUGGGCAUAACAUGAAUAGCAUGAUAUAGCACAAGAUCAAUAGGAAAUAAGAUACGAUAGAGUGCAUAUGUCUUACACCAUAUGAUAAACUUAGUCUCAUAAGCACAACCAAACCAAAGCAAGCAAGUUCAACAACGGAAAGCAAUGCAAACAAACGACGAAACACACGAUACACACGCAAAUCCUACACUCUCUCCCCCUUUGGCAUCGAAGCACCAAAAAGGCGGAGAGGUCACCUACAACAAAGGUGGUAGCUCAGGCGAAAAAUGACUCAUCAUCGCCAGACUCCGCAGCAGGAACAUACUCCUCCUCUGAAUCGGUCCACUUGUAGCCCUGCUUCUCCAUCCAGGCAGUCUCUGGGGUGAUGUGCUUCUCAGAGCCGCUGGCCACAUCCUCCCCGCAAGCCCUCAAGAUCCCGAUGUCGCGACGGCGACUCUCCUUCUAAGCAACAUGGGCCUUGUACUGACCCUGAACCUGCAUGCAGAACAGCCUCUUCAUCUUGUUCUUCAGCUUCUUUGCCCAAGAGGGCUCAGUAGAGGGAGGCGUGAACGCAGAACGGUCCUCAGCAUCGUCCUCCUCAAUCUCCUCCUCAUCCACAGCCAUCUUGGCAGCCUCAGCAGCAGUGGUGGUGUUAGCCCAUUGGGGCUUGAUGCGUAGCUUGAUGGGCUCAUGACGAAUCCAGCUUGGAGCUUCAAACUCCUCAUUGGGAAGGAGCUUCUCCCAAGUCUUGGAGAUCAGGUAAAACAGGUAAGGCCCAUAGAUGGGGACCUUACGGUUGAACACGGCGAACUGAAGCUCACACCACAUGAUAUGUGAGACAUCAAGUGGCCGAGUCUGAGCCUGACGGGCCUUCUCACAAAGGAGCAUCAUGUCAACGAGGUAAGCAUGCACCUGUCCCAUGUCACCAAUGCGCGGGAAGAGCGUGUUCCGGAAGAGCCUAUGCAUGAUGUCAAGGAAGGGGUUAAGCACCCACACCUUCUUCUUGUUGGGGAGCGCCUUCUCAACAAGGUAUGGCAUGAGCUUGUUCUUGUUGGCAGACUCAGAAUUGGCGUGAGGGCGGACUCCAACUGGCGUGUCAAGUCCUUCAUCGGGGAUGAGAAGAAACUCCAUGAACUCCUUCCAUGUAGCAGACAGUUGUCGACCAUUAGUCAUCCAAGUCAUGGUCCUUUCUUCAUUGACACCAAAGUGAACCGAAGCAAAGAGCUGAGCUAUGAUCUCUGGAUCAAAAUCCUUGUGGAAGGUGAGAAUGUGUUCAAUGCCGAACUGCUCCACAAGAUCCAAGGCCUCUCCAAAGUACCCACGCUGCUUCUCCUGCCUCAUGUGAAUCAUGUCAAUCCAAUGAACUUCAACAUAGUGAUUCUGCUUGGCCUUGAUCACAUCCAUGUAUAUCAGAUUUUGCUGCUUGUUCCAGAAGAGUUCAUUGCCUCGCGUACUAGCCCGGGGAGACACAUAUGGAUUGAUCUUCCUUCGAAUGACAAACUCGGCCUGGGGCAUCUCAUCCAUGCCCAUGACGGGCUCCUUCUGUUUGUUGGCGGUGUGCUUGGUCCUGCGUUGGGGAGCAGCAGAGGACCCCUCUGGAACGUCAUCUGGGUUGCGCAGACGCUUUGACCCUGUGUCAUGGCUGGGAUUUGAGCGACGAGCAAAAUCGGAGCCACCACCUAGACACAAAGACACGCACGGGAACAAAACGGAUCAAAACCAAACCAAAAGAAACACAAAACAUGCAAUUUGGACGAAGCAAAAGGGCGCAGGAUGAAUCUACGGUAGUACCAGGCAGGGUUACGGAAGUAAUAAAUUACAUCCUCUCCAGCCGUGGUAGUACCGUGCCGGGGUAGCACGGUAGUACCGUGCUUGGGGCGGAAGUAUUUUUUUUAACUUCCGGACACCAAGCGGUAGUACCGCACCAAGGUGCGGAAGUACCGCUGAGCGCCAGAUCCAGGUGAGGCUGCGGUAGUACCGCUCCAGGAGGAGCGAUAGUACUGCACGGUUUGAAAACCGCCACAGAGGACGCGGAUCUGGAUCUAGAACCUCCGCACGACAACUUCGGUACUACCGUUGAUCAAACGGAACUAUUUUGACUAUCCAAAGAGCAUGGAACUACACUACCACUCUACAACGAAUCCCACUUGCACAGAUUUAGCCAAAAAUCUCAAGAACACCACAUGCAUCUCCCCAAAACCUAAAAGCACAAGGAAGGACAAAAAGAAGAGGCACUUGGGGAAAAACCUGGGUCCAUGGCAAGAGGGCAAGGUGGGGAACGAUCCCACUGGUCGGAAUCCGAGGAGAGCGGCCGGAGACGGAGAUUCGGCGAAGGCCUCCGGCGCCGUUCUUGGUCAGGAGAGAGAGAGACGGGGUGGGGAAUAGAGAUGAAUGGGUAUGGGGAGUUAGAACUCCCCUUGUCUCGCUCUUAACCCCUACCCGCUCGCGGGGGCGCGGAAGUACCGCGGGUCAUCGCGGUAGUACCGCCCGGGCGGAAGUACCGCAUGCUGGGCGAUAGUACCGCUCGUUCAGCGGUAGUAAAAAAUUUCUGCCGUGGAAGUAGCGGUAGUACCGUGCCCCUGGAGGGUCACGCACUUGGCAGAGACCCACCAACUCCUGCGGUAGUACUGUGGCGCACCACGGUAGUACCGUAAACCAAGAAAGUGCUAGAACUCAAGAGAGAAAGGAGAAAAACACGAAGCAACAAAAGGCGAACACAAACACCAACUCAAACACGCCAAGGAGAAGAGAAAACCACACGACAACGAAGACCAACUACGAGACAAACCUUCUCCAAGGAAGGGUGGUGGCCGGAGCCACCUAUGUUUGAGUCACUUGGUAUGGCACCACGAAGAAUUAUCCUUGGGUCCAUGACCAAAACUCGUCUUUGAAGCACAUGUACCAUCAAGAAUGGCUAAUGUGAAAGAGUUGAUCAAUUUAUGCAUAAUGGGGGGAGGGAGAGUUCAUUGAGAGAACAACACUCCCCCUAUGUCAAUGCCUACACCUAAACUAGACAACAAGUUGAGUGUGGUGGGAGGUGCAAUGGUUCAAGUCACAUUGCUCGAAUCAAUGAUAUUUAGCUCAUGCCUUAACUCGCGAAAUCUUGCUUCAUCCAAGGGCUUCGUGAAAAUAUCUGCAAGGUUAUCAUGAGUGUUGACAUACUUGAGCUCGAUCUCCCCUCGCCUAAUGUGAUCCCGGAUGAAGUGAUACCGAAUCUCAAUAUGCUUCGUCUUGAAGUGUUGCACCGGGUUGAGAGAAAUCUUGAUGGCACUUUCAUUAUCACACCAAAGAGGCACUUUGUCACAAAUGACACCGUACUCCUUUAAAGUUUGCCUCAUCCAUAAGAGUUGUGCACAACAACUACCGUCCGCCACAUACCCCACUUCGGUGGACGAGAGAGACACACAACUUUGCUUCUUGGAAGACCAACUCACCAAAGAGCAACGAAGAAAUUGGCACCCUCCGGAAGUGGACUUCCUAUCCACUUUGUCUCCCGCCCAAUCAGAAUCCGUAAAUCCUUCAAGCUUGAAGUUUUCCCCUCUUGGGUACCAUAAGCCAAAGUUUGGGGUAUGAGCCAAAUAUCGAAAGAUUCGCUUGACCGCCACAUAGUGACUUCCCUUCGGUGCGGCUUGAAACCGUGCACACAUUCCCACACUCAACAUGAUAUCCGGUCUAGAUGCACAAAGGUAAAGCAAGGAGCCAAUCAUGGAGCGAUAUACCUUUUGAUCCACCGCUUUACCAUUGGGAUCAAUGUCAAGUUGGCACUUGGUAGGCAUUGGAGUAGAAGCCGGCUUGACAUCACUUAGCUUGAAUAUUUUUAGCAUGUCUUGAGUAUAUUUGGCUUGGUUGAUGAAGGUGCCUUCCCUUCUUUGUUUGAUAUCAAAACCAAGGAAGAACUUCAACUCUCCCAUCGAAGACAUCUUGAACUUGGAGGUCAUGAGAGCGGCAAAUUCCUCAUUGAAAGCUUUGUUAGGGGAACCAAAGAUAAUAUCAUCAACAUAUAGUUGGCAUACAAACAACUCCCCUUUGACCUUCUUAGUAAAAAGAGUGGGAUCGAUUUGCCCCACCUCAAAUCCGCGAUCUUGUAACAACUCGGUAAGGUGGUCAUACCACACACGUGGGGCUUGUUUAAGGCCAUAGAGUGCCUUAUCGAGUUGAUACACAUGAUCCGGGAAGUAGGGAUCCUCGAACCCGGGGGGUUGCUUGACAUAGACCAACUCAUUAAUAGGACCAUUAAGAAAAGCACUUUUCACAUCCAUUUGUUGCAACUUAAAGUUGUGAUGGGAAGCAUAAGCAAUCAACAAACGUAUGGAUUCAAGACGAGCAACGGGAGCAAAGGUUUCACCGUAGUCGAUACCCUCAACUUGGGAGUAGCCUUGUGCUACCAAUCUUGCCUUGUUGCGAAUGAUGUUCCCAUGAGCAUCUUGCUUGUUCUUGAAAAUCCACUUGGUUCCAAUGACGUUGUGGUUCCCCGAUGGCCUUGGCACCAAUCUCCACACCUUGUUGUACUCGAAGUUGUUGAGUUCUUCAUGCAUGGCAUUGAGCCAAUCCGAGUCUUCGAGCGCCUCAUAGACCUUUUGGGGUUCAACACAAGAGACAAACACGUGAUGUUCACAAUAGUUUGCUAAUUGUCUACGAGUGCUUACCCCCUUUCUUAGGCUUCCAACCACAUUUUCCAUGAGAUGGCCUUUGGUGGUGAGCUUGGAAGCAAUCUUCGCGGCACGACGCUCUAAUUCCUCCUCGGAUGUGGAAGGAAGAGGGUUAACUUGAUUAUCUUGAGCGCCGUCUUGAGCUUGUUCUUGAUCUUGAACUUGCUCGAGGGGGAGAACUUGACCUUGGGCAUCAUUUGGAGGUUCACCGCCAUCUUGAGAUUGAUCUUGCCCUUUGUGUUAUUCACGAGGUUGAGGGCCUUCACUUUGUUCUUCGGAAGCGUGUGGGUCUUGGGGAGGUGAUGGCUCCACUUGAGUGGAGCAUUGUCCUUCUCCUUCGGCCACAAGGGGUUCCUCAAUGGGUAGAAUAUGACCAAUACCCAUUCUUAUUAUGGCUUGGGGAGGAAUUUCAUCACCUACAUCACAAGUACCACUUUACUCCACUUGGGAGCCGUUAUUUUCGUCAAACUCCACGUUACACGUCUCCUCAAUGAGUCCGGUGGACUUGUUGAGAACACGGUAAGGAUGAGAGUUUGUAGCAUAACCAACAAAUAUGCCCUCAUAAGCUUUAGCCUCAAAUUUAGACAAACGAACACCUUUCUUGAGAAUGAAACACUUACACCCGAACACCCGGAAGUACUUGAGAUUGGGCUUGUUGCUGGUGAGUAUCUCAUAAGGAGUCUUGUUCAAGCCUUUGCGGAGAUAGAACCGAUUGGAUGCAUGACAUGCUGUGUUGAUGGCUUCGGCCCAAAAGUUGUAUGGAGACUUGAACUCCGCCAUCAUGGUCCUUGCCGCAUCCAUCAACAUCCGGUUCUUCCUCUCUGAAACACCAUUUUGUUGAGGGGUAUAUGGUGCAGCAUAUUGAUGCUUGAUCCCCUCAUCACUAAGAAACUCAUCCAAGGUGUAGUUCUUGAACCCGGUGCCGUUGUCACUUAUUAUUGUCAAGAUCUUUGCAUUAUGUUGAUGUUGAGCUUCAUUUUCAAAGUCAAUGAUGGUUUGUUGAGUCUCACUCUUCCUCUUGAAGAAAUAUACCCAAGUGUAUCUUGAAUAAUCAUCCACAAUCACCAAGUAAUACUUUCUACCUCCAAGACUAUCAAAAGAUGGAGGCCCAAAGAGAUCCAUGUGAAGGAGCUCCAAGGGUCUGUUCGAGUAGAUGAUGGUCGUGGGAGGGUGAGCCUUCUCAUGGAGCUUUCCUUCAAUACAAGCACUGCAAGCACGAUCUUUGGCAAAACUAACAUUUUUUAGUCCAUGGACAUGGUCCCCCUUGAGAAGACUUUGCAAAGAUCUCAUAUUGACGUGGGCUAAACGGCGAUGCCAAAGCCAUCCCACGUCAACUUUAGCCAUUAGGCAUGUCGCGGUCUUAGUGGGUUGCUCCAAAAAGUUUAUCACAUAGAGACCGUUCUCGACAUGCCCAACAAAGGCUACUUUAAGAGUCUUGCUCCACAAGAGGGCCAUGGUAUCAAUGUCAAAGAAAGUGGCAAAGCCCAUGAGUGCAAGUUGACGAACGAAAAGUAAAUUGUAUGCAAGGGACUCAACAAGCAUGACUUUCUCGAUCGUUAGAUCAUGAGAAAUGACAACCUUGCCAAGACCCAAUACCUUAGAAUGUGAAGCAUCACCCCACUCGACAUUGGUGGGCAUAGAUGGAAUCUUUUGCACGUCCACCACCAAGUCCUUGCUCCCGGUCAUAUGAUUCGUUGCUCCACUAUCGAGCAACCAUGAUCCCCCACCGGAAGCAAACACCUACAAGAGAACAAUGCUUGGUUUUAGGUACCCAUUUAGUAAUGGGUCCUUUGAUGUUAGUAACAAGGGUCUUAGGAACCCAAAUAGACCACUCAAUGUACUCAUAAGGAGAACCAACAAAUUUGGCAUAAACAUGUCCAUCACUAGCACGACACAACACAUAUGACGGGUUAAGGUCGCCGGCUUUGUUGGAGGAGAUGGUUUUGCCCUUUUUGACAUCAACGCCCUUCACAUUUUCCUUCUUCUCCUCAGGAUCACCCUCUCCCUCUUUCACAAAAGUUUGCUUGAGAGGAGGAGGUCGUUUGGUCUUGUCAUUCUUCUUCUUAUUCUUGGACUUAGGUGCAAACCCAGUUCCCUUCUUGGCCACCACUUCCUUUCGAUUGCUCAAAAGGUCAUUGAGGUUCUUCUCACCUUGAAUGCAUGUCACGAGGCCUUUCUCAAGUUGAUCCUUCAUCUUGGCAUUCUCCUCCACAAGAUGCACAUGCUCACAACACGGGUUAGUAGCAUAUGCAUUAUCAAUUAAUACCAUAUGAGGAAAGGUGGCCUUUUCCUUGGUUAGCUUAACUUGGAGUUGAGCAUGAGACUCCUUGAGGUUAGCGUGAGCACCCUUCAAGACUUUGUGGGCCUUGUCAAGCACAUCAGACUCCUCCUUGAUUCUAGCAUGAUUAAUCCCAAGUUUAGCCUUCUCGGAGGUUAGCACACGAGACACGACAAGAGCAUGAUCAAGAUCUUUCUUUAUCUUAGCAUGGUCAUCAUUGUAUGACCCCUCAAGAGUCAGAUGAUGCCCACGCUCUUCCUCAAGAGCAUUAGAGAGAUCCGAUAUCUCAUCAGCAUAGUCACGACUAUGACUUUCCAUCUUAGAGAUGGUUUCUUCGUGAGCCUCGAUCAUGUCAUUGGCUUCACCAAGUUGUUCCAAGAGAGCAACAAAGUGCUUCUUGGAUUUGCCCUUGAGCUUACUCAUAAAAGACUCAAAUUCAUUCACUUCCUCAUUAGACCCAUCAUGUUCAUCAGUGCAACCCUCCAAGGAGGGAUUAGUAAUGACGGUGGUUUUGAUAUUCGCCAUGAGGCAUUUGGCGGUGAUGUUCUUGUUGGGUGAAUCAAAGAGAGACACCCGGGGAGUGGUAGCAAUGGCAACGGAGGCCAUGGCCAUUGCUUCUCCAUUUUCAUCAUCAUUGUCAUCCUCAUGGUAUUCUUCUUGAACCACCAACCCAUGAGUAGGAGUCUUCUUGGUGAAGUUGUUCUUGUUGGGGAAGGACUUGGCUUUGUCUUUUCGGAUGAACUUGCCACCAUUGUCUUCCCGCUUCUCGUAAGGACAAUCCGCAACGAAAUGGCUCACAUUGCCACAGUUGAAGCAAGUUCUAACUCGUUGCUUGCCCUUGAGGCCACUUGAGUUGUUCUUGUUGAAGUUGGGUCUUGUAUUCUUCUUGCUCCAAAAUUGUCUUGAAGCAAGAGCCAUAUGCUCAUGAUAAUCAUAUUUCGUGUCUUCGGGGUUGCUCUCCUCAUCUUCCUCUUCUUCCUCUUCUUCCACACUAACCUUGGCCUUCAAUGCAAGGUUGGGCUUCUUUGCCCUUUGAGAACGGAGCACCGCAUUGUCGGCGGUCUUGUCCAAGAUGCUCAUUGCAACGAACUCAUCCAACACUUCACUUGAGGUCAUGGAGUGGAAAUCCGGUCUUUGACGAAUGAUGGAGGACAUGGCCUUGUUGUAGGGCAUCAUGGCCUUGAGGAACUUGCGCUUGAUCCAAUUGUCAUCCGUAUCCUUGCUCCCAUGAUCUCGGAGUGCGACCACGAGUUUGGUCACUCUUCGAAAGAGCUCAACGAGAUUCUUCAUCUUCUUUCAUUGCAAACUCAUCGGCUUCAUCUUGCACCACUUCAUAGUUGGAGCGUUGAAUGCUAGCACUUCCUCGAUAGAGAGACACAACACAUUGCCAUGCGUCUUUGGCCAUGGCAUGAGGUCGAAGAUGAGGGAGAUCUUCGGGAAGGAUUGCAUCUUGGAUGAUGAAGAGAGCACUCUCAUUGAAUUGAUUAUCCACCACUUCUCUCGGAGUGAAGUUGCUUCAGUCAUGUGGAUAGAAACCUUCUUCAAUGAUUCUCCAAAGAUUAGUAUUCACAUGAUUUAAAUGACGCUUGAAGCGAUACACCCAAGAAUUAAAAUCCUCAUUUUUCACAAUCUUAGAAGGAGGACCGGCAUGAUUUAAAUGAGUAGAGGGAAUCGGUCCUCCAUAAAUUGGAGGUUCCACAUGGGCAAAGAUGCCGGUGCCAUUUCUACCACUAGUAGAAGGACUCUUUUCACUGUUAGCUUCCCCCUUGUCGGAGGUAGCAUCCGUCACCUUGUUAGUGGGAUCACCCACUUUCAUCGGCGAGGUGGACAGUUUAAGUCCUUCAAGAAAUUUAGUAAACUUGCUUUCAACCUUGGUCGUCAUGGAGUCUUUCAAUGUGUCUAGAGCCACAUUGAAUUCCUCACGAGAGACCGAGGUUCCCCCAUCGGCCGUAGACGAGAUAGGAUUCACACCGGAGUGCUCCUCCGCACCGUCUGUGGUGUCAACCAUACUCUUCGGAUGGCAAAGUCCUUAAUAAAGAGACGAGGCUCUGAUACCAAUUGAAAGGAUCGAUAUAGUUGACUAGAGGGGGGGUGAAUAGGCAACUAACAAUUUUUAGCUUUUCUUUACCAAAUUAAACUUUGCAUCAAAGUAGGUUUACUAGAUAUGCCACUAGGUGAACAACCCAUAUGAUGCGACAACAACAAGCACACGAUCAAGCAAGGGAAACAACACAAGUAAGCUUGCAAAAGUAAAGGCACGAGAUAACCAAGAGUGGAGCCGGUGGAGACGAGGAUAUGUUACCGAAGUUCCUUCCUUUUGAGGGGAAGUAAGUCUCCGUUAGAGCGGUGUGGAGGCACAAUGCUCCCCAAGAAGCCACUAGGGCCACCGUAUUCUCCUCACGCCCUCACACAAUGCGAGAUGUCGUGAUUCCACUAUUGGUGCCCUUGAAGGCGGCGACCGAACCUUUAGAAACAAGGCUGGGGCAAUCUCCACAACUUAAUGGAAGGAUCCCAACAACACCACGAAGCUUCACCACAAUGGACUAUGGCUCUGAGGUGACCUCAACCGUCUAGGGUGCUCAAACACCCAAGAGUAACAAGAUCCGCUAAGGAUAAGUGGGGGGAAUCAAAUUUCUCUUGGUGGAAGUGUAGAUCGGGGCCUUCUCAACCUAUCCCGAGCAAAUCAACAAGUUUGAUUGGCUAGGAAGAGAGAUCGGGCGAAAAUGGAGCUUGGAGCAACAAUGGAGUUUAUGGUUAGAAGAGGUAAGUCUUCUUGGAGAAGAAGACCCCCUUUAUAGUGGGGGAACAAUUCCAACCGUUACCCACCACUCAGCCCGCGACCCACAGAACUACCGCACCUCAGGUGCGGUACUAUCGCACGGGCCUGCGGUACUACCGCGGCGAGCAGCGGUACUACCAUGGGCACGACAGAGACCAGACCUGACAAAAGGAGUACUAACAGGGCGCGGUAGAUCCGCAAGAGCGGUACUACCACGGCCCCAUACGGUACUACCGCAAGACAGCCGCAGGCCAGGCUCGGUAGGCACAAAUGUAAAAAAAUUACAUCCGUGACUACCUCCGCUGAGAAAUUGUCGUGCAAAAAUCCGACACGGAACUACCACGACCAUGGGUGCGGUACUACCAUGAAAGGUGCGGAUGUAAAAAAAUUACAUCCGCCCUUACCUCCGCACUUGCUACUGAACCUGGCCUGGCGUCACGGUACUACCGGGCCGCAGCAUGGUACUACCGCGAGGAGCGCGGAUGUAAAAAAUUACAUCCGCGCCUACCACCGCUUGAGCAGCGGUGCCAGACCAGAGCUCGUGGUACUACCGCUCUGAGGAACGGUACUACCGUGGGAGCCUACGGUACUACCGGGCCGGAGCCCUGUACUACCGCUGGCUCCUGCGGUAGUAUCGCUCAGAAGAGCAGUACUACCGCUAGCCUGAGAAGAGCAAGGCGGAGGCCUUCAAAUCGCAGAGACAAGGUGAGACGGAGGAACACUCCAAGGAGCUCGAGGAAAGGCGGUGCAAAAGGAAAUGUGUACGUGAAAUUCCACCCAAACCUUUCCAAAGCGGACCCCCUCUUAAUAGUACGGCUCUCCUAUGACUCAACUCCACCGAACCGAACCGUAGAGAAACACCGUCUUCAAUAAUCUUCGAGGGACAUCAAAUCGUCUUGUGUUUAGUCGUGAUGAAUCUGAAAAGCUCAAUACACAUGAUUAGUCCGCAAAGGCAUUGUCAUCAAUCACCAAAACUACUUAGGGACAAGAAUGCCCUUACAAAUUGCUUUACAUAGUUUCAAUGUAUGGUUUAAUUAAUUUAGAUGCUCUGCAGAUCUUUAUGUUGUUAGAUGAGAACUAUGUAUGUACUUUGGUUUUAAUGUGAUGAUGAACUUCUAUUAAUUUGGUCACUUAAUUAUCUAUUCAUGAUGUUCCGUAAUGAUUUUUGACACGCUUAAUUAUAUAUAAUGCACGCAGAUGAACCGGCAAUGGAUGUAUGGUUCAAGACACACCUCCGAGUACAUUAAGGGCGUGCAUGAUUUUCUCGAAGUGGCUGAGGCAAACAAGCAGAAUGGUUUUAUGUGUUGUCCAUGCCCUAUAUGUGGGAAUACGAAGUCUUACUCUGACCGGAAAAUCCUUCACACCCACCUGCUUUACAAGGGUUUCAUGCCACACUAUAAUGUUUGGACGAGGCACGGAGAAAUAGGGGUUAUGAUGGAAGCCGGCGAAGAAGAAGAGUACGAUGACAACUAUGUGCCCCCUGAAUACCGUGAUGCUACUGAAGAUCAAGAGGAACAGACAAUGUGCACGAUGAUGCUGCAACGGGCGAAGCUGCUGAAGAUCAAGAGGAACCAGAUGAUGUGCCCGAUGAUGAUGAUCUCCGUCGGGUCAUUGUCGAUGCAAGGACGCAAUGCGAAAGUCAAAAGGAGAAGCUAAAGUUCGAUCACAUGUUAGAGGACCACAAAAAAGGGUUGUACCCCAAUUGCGAAGAUGGCAACACAAAGCUCGGUACCGUACUGGAAUUGCUGCAGUGGAAGGCAGAGAAUGAUGUGCCUGACAAAGGAUUUGAGAAGCUACUGAAAAUAUUGAAGAAGAAGAUUCUAAAGGAUAACGAAUUGCCCGACAAUACAUACGCAUCAAAGAAGGUCGUAUGCCCUCUAGGAUUGGAGGUGCAGAAGAUACAUGCAUGCCCUAAUGACUGCAUCCUCUACUGCGGUGCGUACAAGGAUCUGAACACAUGCCCGGUAUGCGGUGCAUUACGGUAUAAAAUCAGACGAGAUGACCCUGGUGAUGUUGACGGCGAGCCCCCCAGGAAGAGGGUUCCUGCGAAGGUGAUGUGGUAUGCUCCUAUAAUACCAUGGUUGAAACGUCUGUUUAGAAACGGAGAGCAUACCAAGUUGAUGCAAUGGCACAGUGAGGACCGUAAGAAAGACGGGAAGUUGAGAGCACCCGUUGACGGGUCGCAGUGGAGAAAAAUCGAGAGAAAGUACUGGGAUGAGUUUGCAAGUGACCCAAGGAACGUAUGGUUUGCUUUAAGCACGGAUGGCAUUAAUCCUUUCGGGGAGCAGAGCAGCAAUCACAACACCUGGCCCGUGACUCUAUGUAUGUAUAACCUUCCUCCUUGGAUGUGCAUGAAGCGGAAGUUCAUUAUGAUGCCAGUUCUCAUCCAAGGCCCUAAGCAACCCGGCAACGACAUUGAUGUGUACCUAAGGCCAUUAGUUGAAGAACUUUUACAACUGUGGAAUGGAAAUGGUGUAAGUACGUGGGAUGAGCACAAAUAAGAGGAAUUUGACCUAAAGGCGUUGCUGUUCGUGACCAUCAACGAUUGGCCCGCUCUCAGUAACCUUUCAGGACAGACAAACAAGGGAUACCACGCAUGCACACACUGUUUACUUGACACCGAUAGUAUAUACCUGGGAAGCUGCAGGAAGAAUGUGUACCUGGGCCAUCGUCGAUUUCUUCCGACCAACCAUCAAUGUCGAAAGAAAGGCAAGCAUUUCAAAGGCGAGGCAGAUCACCGGAAGAAGCCCGCCAUGCAUACCGGUGAUCACGUACUUGCUAUGGUCAAUGAUUUACACGUAAUCUUUGGAAAGGGUCCCGGUGGACUAGCUAUUCCGAGUGACGCUGGGGGACACGCACCCAUGUGGAAGAAGAAAUCUAUAUUUUGGGACCUACCCUACUGGAAAGACCUAGAGGUCCGCUCUUCGAUCGACGUGAUGCACGUGAUGAAGAACCUUUGCGUGAACCUGCUAGGCUUCUUGGGCGUGUAUGGGAAGACAAAAGAUACAGCUGAGGCAUGGGAGGACCUGCAACGUUUGCACAAAAAAGACGACAUGCCUCCAAAGCAGUAUGAAGGUCCUGCCAGCUAUGCUCUUACCAAAGAAGAGAAGGAAAUCUUCUUUGAAUGCCUGCUUAGUAUGAAGGUCCCGACUGGCUUCUCGUCGAAUAUAAAAGGAAUAAUAAAUAUGGCAGAGAAAAAGUUUCAGAACCUAAAGUCUCAUGACUGCCACGUGAUUAUGACGCAACUGCUUCCGGUUGCAUUGAGGGGGCUUCUACCGAAAAACGUCCGAUUAGCCAUUGUGAAGCUAUGUGCAUUCCUCAAUGCAAUCUCUCAGAAGGUGAUCGAUCCAGAAAUCAUACCAAGGCUAAGGAGUGAUGUGGUGCAAUGUCUUGUCAGUUUCGAGCUGGUGUUCCCACCAUCCUUCUUCAAUAUCAUGACACACGUCCUAGUUCAUCUAGUUGACGAGAUUGUCAUUCUGGGUCCCGUAUUUCUACACAAUAUGUACCACUUUGAGAGGUUCAUGGGAGUCCUAAAGAGAUAUGUCCGUAACCGCGCUAGGCCAGAAGGAAGCAUCUCCAGGGGCCAUCAAACAGAGGAUGUCAUCGGGUUUUGUGUUGACUUCAUUCCUGGCCUUAAGAAGAUAGGUCUCCCUAAAUCGCGGUAUGAGGGGAGACUGGCUGGAAAAGGCACGCUUGGAAGAGACUCAAUAAUAUGCAGGGACGGAUAUUCUUGGUCUCAAGCACACUACACAGUUCUAUAGAACUCUACCUUGGUGACCCCGUAUGUCGAUGAACACAAGAACAGUCUGCGCUCCAAACACCCGGAGCAGUGCGACGACUGGAUUACAUGUGAACACAUCAGGACUUUCAGCAGUUGGUUGGAAACAUGUCUUAGAGGUGACAACACUGUUUGUGAUGAGCUGUACUUGUUGUCCAGGGGACCAUCUUCGACUGUUAAGAUUUGGAAAGGAUACGAGAUAAAUGGGAAUACAUUUUACACGAUUGACCAAGAUCAAAAGAGCACCAACCAAAACAGCGGUGUCCGCUUUGAUGCAACAACCGAGAGGGGAAAGGACACAUAUUAUGGUUACAUAGUGGACAUAUGAGAACUUGACUACGGACAUGAUUUUAAGGUCCCUUUGUUUAAGUGCAAAUGGGUCAAUCUGUCAGGAGGCGGGGUACAGGUAGACCCACAGUACGGAAUGACAACACUGGAUCUGAAAAAUCUUGGGUACACUGACGAACCGUUCGUCCUAGCCAAUGAUGUGGCACAGGUUAUCUAUGUGAAGGACAUGUCUACCAGACCAAGAAAAAGAAAAGAUAAGGAAGCGAAUACAUCAUACGAUGAGCCAAAGCGCCACAUGAUUCUUUCAGGAAAAAGGGACAUCGUGGGAGUGGAGGGCAAGACAGACAUGUCUGAAGAUUAUGAAAAGUUUCAUGAAAUUCCUCCCUUCAAAGUCAAGGCUGACCCCAGCAUCCUGAUAAACGAUGAAGAUUAUCCAUGGUUACGGCACAAUAAGCAAAUGACACAAGCGAAAAAAAGUGAAGACUUUCUCCUGCAACUAUUAUGAUGAUACCAUGCCAACUUUGUAACAGACGAGUAUGAUACCAUUGUCCGUUUUGUACAUGCACAUGCUAUGUGGGUGAAUUUAUGACACCAUGCCAACUUUCAACUUUUUCAGACUUCAUUUGAAAUGCUUUAAUAUCUUAUGGUUCUGCCCUCAUAAUACCAUUAAUCCCGCUUCGCUCCUUGUCAACUAUGUUCUCACCAAGAACACUCUCAACAGAAAGUUUAUAAUUUUUCUAAAACUAAUGGCACUAACAGAAAGUUUAUAAUUUUGCUGACCUAAAAGCAAAAAUAAUUAAAAAAUAAAGCAAAAAACAAAAGAAAAUAAAUAAUGCAGAAAACAAAACAAAAAAACUGGAAACAAAAUAAAAAUAGCAACAAUAAGUAUUUUGUUGUAAGUNNNNNNNNNNNNNNNNNNNNNNNNNNNNNNNNNNNNNNNNNNNNNNNNNNNNNNNNNNNNNNNNNNNNNNNNNNNNNNNNNNNNNNNNNNNNNNNNNNNNNNNNNNNNNNNNNNNNNNNNNNNNNNNNNNNNNNNNNNNNNNNNNNNNNNNNNNNNNNNNNNNNNNNNNNNNNNNNNNNNNNNNNNNNNNNNNNNNNNNNNNNNNNNNNNNNNNNNNNNNNNNNNNNNNNNNNNNNNNNNNNNNNNNNNNNNNNNNNNNNNNNNNNNNNNNNNNNNNNNNNNNNNNNNNNNNNNNNNNNNNNNNNNNNNNNNNNNNNNNNNNNNNNNNNNNNNNNNNNNNNNNNNNNNNNNNNNNNNNNNNNNNNNNNNNNNNNNNNNNNNNNNNNNNNNNNNNNNNNNNNNNNNNNNNNNNNNNNNNNNNNNNNNNNNNNNNNNNNNNNNNNNNNNNNNNNNNNNNNNNNNNNNNNNNNNNNNNNNNNNNNNNNNNNNNNNNNNNNNNNNNNNNNNNNNNNNNNNNNNNNNNNNNNNNNNNNNNNNNNNNNNNNNNNNNNNNNNNNNNNNNNNNNNNNNNNNNNNNNNNNNNNNNNNNNNNNNNNNNNNNNNNNNNNNNNNNNNNNNNNNNNNNNNNNNNNNNNNNNNNNNNNNNNNNNNNNNNNNNNNNNNNNNNNNNNNNNNNNNNNNNNNNNNNNNNNNNNNNNNNNNNNNNNNNNNNNNNNNNNNNNNNNNNNNNNNNNNNNNNNNNNNNNNNNNNNNNNNNNNNNNNNNNNNNNNNNNNNNNNNNNNNNNNNNNNNNNNNNNNNNNNNNNNNNNNNNNNNNNNNNNNNNNNNNNNNNNNNNNNNNNNNNNNNNNNNGGCUAUGCGGCUCUGUUUUUUUCAUUUUUAUUAGUUUACUUUUUUUGUUCAUAUAUAUAUAUAUAUAAUGUAUAUGUGUAUGUAUGUGGCUAUGUGUAUGUAGAUGUUCAAAAUGUAUAAAAAAUUGUUCAGAGCAUGUUUUUGUUCAUGCAUAUAUGUAUUUUUUGUUCAUAUGUGUAUUAAUGUUUUCAUAUAUGCAAAAGAUAGAUUUUUAGAAAAGUUAGGAUUUUUUCUGUUCAUAGAUUUUUUUGGUGAUAUUAUUUAUUGUAGAAUAUGCAAAUGUUUGUAUAUUCAUAUGAACAAUGCAUUAGGCAAAAACCUUUGUUUUUUUCGAAAUUUUCCAUUUGAACAUUUUUUUUAAAACAAGCAAUACUAAAAGAAUGAGAGGAAAAAGGAAAAUAAGAAGUGGAAGAAAGGAGAAGAAGAGGAGAGGAAGAAGAGGAGAAAUAAAUAAGAAGAGGAAAAAAGAAGAAAAAGAAGAGGAGAAGAAGAAAUGAAUAGAGGAGAAGAAGAAAAAAUAGAAAAUUUCUAUUUUUUCUUCUUCUCCUCUAUUCCUUUCUUCUUCUCCUCUUUUUUUUCUUCUUUUUUUUCUUCUUCUUCUUCCUUCUUCCUUCUUCCUCUUUUCUUCCUUUUCCUUAUUUUCCUUUCUCGAGGGAGAAGAAGAAAAAGAAGAGGAGAAGAAGAAGAAAGGAAUAGAGGAGAAAGAAGAAACNNNNNNNNNNNNNNNNNNNNNNNNNNNNNNNNNNNNNNNNNNNNNNNNNNNNNNNNNNNNNNNNNNNNNNNNNNNNNNNNNNNNNNNNNNNNNNNNNNNNNNNNNNNNNNNNNNNNNNNNNNNNNNNNNNNNNNNNNNNNNNNNNNNNNNNNNNNNNNNNNNNNNNNNNNNNNNNNNNNNNNNNNNNNNNNNNNNNNNNNNNNNNNNNNNNNNNNNNNNNNNNNNNNNNNNNNNNNNNNNNNNNNNNNNNNNNNNNNNNCUUCAACACGAGGGGGGGGGGUACCGAUACCCCCUCCCUGAUAACAUUAUUUUCCCAUGUAUAUGUAUGUCGCGUCGUUGUCGAUAUAACCCCCUCGAGAUAACUUCGGCAUGAGGGGCGGUCGAUAUAUAUACUCCCUCUCGACCGUGAUAACUUAUACCACGGCAGCACCCCCCUCGGCCCUCUCGCUCGACCAAAACACUCGAGGACACCCAAACCCUAGAGAGAAAACGAUGUUGGUCUCCUACCCCCUCCCGUCGCGCCCCUACCCGACAAAUUAACUCUCUCGAGGCCACCCAAAUUUACCAAGUUAAAAGAGCGUUGUCGUCGAGGCCACCCCAAACCCUUGAAGCAUUGUGUCGAGGCCACCGCAAACCCUAGAGAAGCAGCGUCGAGGCCACUAACAUGAUUCCUUAUUGUGAUUAGCUAGCUAGCUCUAUGUUUGCCACUAAUAUAUAUCCAUCUGUAUCAUGUUUGAAUAAUAAUUGACAUGUUGUAAAUAUUUGCAGAAACUAUGGAGCACUCCCGAGAAGAAGCAAUAGAAGCGAUGUUGGGGGACAUAAUCGCACAAGGAAGUGAUGUCGUUGCGUCAUUUCUCAAUGACACCGAUGGUCAAGAAGGACUGGGUGAAGAAGAGGGCUAUGUUCAUGAUGGCUCCGGCCCAUUAAUGCCGGUACAAGAAGAGGGCUAUGUUCAUGAUGGCUCUGGUGACCCAAUGGAGGUACAAGAAGGAGACCGUGCUGACUGCUCUGGUGACCGAACCGAGUCCGGCCAGGUAUAUAUAUAUAUAUAUUAGUUAAGCCCGUGUUGACUAGUUAAUUGAUGCAUUCAUUGUUUUGGUAUAUGUACACAUAUUAAUUAACUCUCGUCUUUCUUCCUUUUUCUAGCCCUCCGGAUCGAGCACAACUUCGGUAAGGAGACAAGGCCCGAAGAAAAAUUUGAGCUCGGAUGAAAGGUUUGAGAUCAGAGAAAUCACGCCCGACGGCGAACCGAUUGAACCCAUUCGGACAAAGAAUGCAUUUUCUGCUCAGUGCGGGGUUCUUGUUAGGGACAAGAUCCCGAUUAGAAUCCAGCAAUGGUAUAAGCCUAAGGAGGAAGACCCUGAGGUGUCUUAUGUCAAUGAUAUGCAGAAAGAAGAUCUUUGGACUCAGCUGAAGGCAAAUUUCACCCUACCGCCAGAGGAGGAUCCGGAGAAGCCAGUUAAAGAGCAAUUAAUCAAGUCUUGUGCUCUUAAGAAGAUGGCAACCCUAUUCAGGAGGUGGAGGAAAGAGCUAAACAAGUUUGUCGACAAAGAAGAGACACCAGAAUUCGUCGGCAAAUAUGAGAAGAUCAAAGAUCACUGGCCCGCAUUUGUGGCCCACAAGACAUUGGAAAAGAGUAAGAAGAUGUCGGCGACAAACAAGCAAAAUGCUGCGAAGAAGCAGUUUCACCAUCGCACGGGGUCAGGUGGCUACCUCAAAGCCCGGCCUAAGUGGUCCAAGGCUGAGAAUGAUCUGCUUGAAAAAGGGAUCGAACCAGAGACAAUGAACUGGCCAGACCGUUGCAGACUUGGUUCUUCGGGGCUGGCGGAACCUUGGACCCUGUAUCAGGGAAGUGCCAUUGGACGGACGCGCAACUGAAAAUACCAGUCAAGAGGCUUCGGCACUAUAUCAAUGCAGCGCAUCGAGGGACGUUCGUUCCAGACAGGGAGAAGGACGAGCUCACAAUGGCCCUCGGGAAUCCUGAGCACCCUGGACGGACAUGAGGCACGCCAGGCUCCAUUCCGUGGAAGGUUGGUUUUCCGGACGCACGGGGUUACAAAACCCACGAGAGGAGGAAGAAACUGGAGCAUGGCCAACUGCAGGCGCUGCACGAAAGGGUAAUGGGGCUAGAGGAACGAGAAGAGAAACGAGAAGCAGCAGAUCGCAGCAAACGACCUGCCGAAGCUUCCCCAGAAGCUAACCCGCCAUCUCGGCGGAGAAGCAGCGUGGCUUCCACCGAGCUACUUCAGCCGGAGCAUGUCUUGACGGCUCCUGCCAAUUAUCCCGUGGAUGCUAUCACGGAGUCUCAAAAUUGCCACAUUAUGACGCGAUGGAUGAAUUUGAAGGUCAAGGCGGCUAUUGGCUUUGUUUAUCCUACUGAACACGGCGCAACUUUUCACUACCGGCCGAUUCCAGAAGGAUAUGCUAGGGUGAUGGUGGAUGAAAUAACGGAGGGAUUUGAGGACCUCCAGCUUGACCACCCUACCGGUGAAGGGGAGACUAGGCUGGGUUCUGCUCUGAAGACUCCAUGCCUAUGGCAGAAGGAGCUCAUCAACCUUCCGAAUUGGACGCCUCCGCCUCCUCCUCCUCCUCCGGCGAGUCAGGGCACUCCGCCUCCUCCACCGCCUCCUCCUCCGAGGAGUGACAAUCAGGGCACUGGGCCUCCUUCUCCGGCGCGUGGCGGCACUCCGCCUCCUUCUCCGCCUGCGCCGGCGCACCCGAGUAGCCAGCAGCCUCCUCCUUCUCCGCCUCGCCAGAAAGGGCGGAGGAGACCCGCCGCCGCCCCGGCUGCUCUGGCGCGUCGUAGUCCUUCUCCUCCGCCUCAUAAGCAAGCACGUAAGAAGACAGACGCCGCAGCAGCUCCGUCUGCUCCGGCGUCUAGCAGCACAACCAGAGGCAGGAGGCAAUACAGAUACGGUCCACCUCUCAAGCCUCUAGAGAAGUUACCGUACGAGAGGACCGAGGAGGAAAACGCGACGAUCGUGCGGACCCACGUGAAGAAGUUCUUUGAAGGGGUGAAAGCAAAGAGACAUCCACCUCCGGGGGAGAAGGUAGAUCCGGUGAAAGCAAAGCGCACUCUCGAUGCCCUGAGGAAACCGGCAAAGUCUCCGCCAAGAAUCAACUAUGAGCGCAUUACUGAACAGACAUAUCUCCAAGCGGAGCGGUCGGGAAGUACUGUCAGACAUCAAAGGUCAAGAGAACGAGCAGCUGCGAAAAAAAUUGACCAGCUCGGCGAACAAGCAAACCAAUCGUGCCCCCCGCUCAAUGUGUCUAGCGGCAACAUCGUCGCUAAUGCUCCGGGGAUGGUGGCCGGUUAUGGCAAUCUACAAGAUUACCUGCCUGACGAUCAACUUCCUGAUUUCAUGGAGGUGGACGAACACAGAUACGAGUACAGGAAGCCUCUCGUCAAAGAUGAAAACCUGCAGAGAGUCUGGGGGAACGAAUAGUUUGUAUCUGAACAUUAAAGAGGAGCACGACCUCAUUGGAACUGAUCUGUUGUGUGUUCCAUUUGAGGAGUUCUUCGCGUUCUUCAAUCAAAAGGCCCUCGAUAAAUUAACGGUCUUUUGCUACUGCAUGUAAGUACUAUUUCUGCCAUUAAGUCUCUAUAUAUAGCUCAUCUCUUUCAUUGCAUGUAUUUAUAAUUAAUUAUCCUCAAUAUAUUAUGCAGAUUGAAGAUCGUCGAGUGUAGAAAAUAAGAAAUUUAUGAUAUUGGGUUCAUUAACACAAAUAUCAUAGAUGAAUUUCUGGUUAAAAAGCAUGCCAAAGAGGCCGAGGUCAACUUGCUACAAUCGUUGAUCAAAAAUCAAAACAAAGAUAUCAUACUCUUUCCUUACAACUUCAAGUAAGUGUUACUGUCGUGUGCAUAUUCGGUUUCCCUUAUUACUCGAGCGAGGUUAUAGUAAUGUAAUUGAUGAGUUAUGCAUGCGUGUGCAGCUUCCACUAUGUUCUUCUGGAGAUUAAGCUUGAGCAGGGACUAGUAACCGUCUUAGACGAAAAGAUCCCGAAACCUAUGCGGACAUGACUAAAUUGCUCAACAAGUAAGUUCAAUCGAUCAUUAUCGCACCAUAUCGGCAACUUUUUGUUCAUUUCCUGAUAUCUCAAGUAAUAAUUAUUAUUUUUUGUCUUGCAGGGUUUGGAAACAGUUCACCGCAGAAGCUCCAGGACUGCCGAAGGAGCUGCGAUAUACAUACCCGAAAGUAAGUACUACUAGCUAGCUAGUUGCGCGCAUCUCCCGUUGAUUCUAUAGCUAUACUUUCAUAAAUGCCAUUUAUAAUGCUUCAUUAUCAGUUUGAUUGACCUCUAUUUCUCGUAAAGUGCUUGUGGCAGGAACAAGGGAAUGAUUUCUGUGGAUACUACGUGUGCGAGUUCAUCUACAACGCGACUUUGAAAAAUAAGCGGAGCUACUCUAAAAGACAGUAUGAAGUGCGUAAGCAAUAAUAUUCACAAUUUCAUUUUAUUACACCAUCAUUUCUGUUGAGUUUCAUUCAUAUAUAUGUAUUAAUUAACCCCUUCUUCAAAUUAGACGUGGCAGAUGCGGAAUGAACUCCUAGAACUAGAUCGCAUGAAAGCAAUUCAAGAGGAAUUGGCGGAAUUCUUUUUUGACCACGACAUCAAUAAAGCCGGAGAAUAACAUGUGGAAGUUGAUUUCAAUUGCUAGGGGAUUGUAAUUAAGAGAUCUUACAUAUUGUAUAUGUAUGUAGCCAGUAGCUUCGGAUAGAUAAUACGAAAACUUGUUGUUCGACCAAUCUCUCGGAGAAGGAGAGGUCGAUCGAUCACUUCUCUCGGUAUGCAUGAUGAACUUUUGUACUUAAUGGUUCCCUUCAUUUUCUUACUAGCUAGCGUGUCGAGGGCCUCUCUAUGUAUAGUACGUAGCGUCGACCAAGCACGGACAUAAGAGAUGACACUUCUCUCUAUUAAUUAGCUAGCUAACACAAUAUAUGAAACACCCAAAUUAACCCCCCAAAACCCCNNNNNNNNNNNNNNNNNNNNNNNNNNNNNNNNNNNNNNNNNNNNNNNNNNNNNNNNNNNNNNNNNNNNNNNNNNNNNNNNNNNNNNNNNNNNNNNNNNNNNNNNNNNNNNNNNNNNNNNNNNNNNNNNNNNNNNNNNNNNNNNNNNNNNNNNNNNNNNNNNNNNNNNNNNNNNNNNNNNNNNNNNNNNNNNNNNNNNNNNNNNNNNNNNNNNNNNNNNNNNNNNNNNNNNNNNNNNNNNNNNNNNNNNNNNNNNNNNNNNNNNNNNNNNNNNAAAAACAAAAACCCCAGCCACUGGAAUGCUGACGCGUGGAUGCCUUUUGGUCCCGGUUGGUGCCACCAACCGGGACCAAAGGCCCCUUGCCUGGGCUUGGCGCACCGGCCACGUGGAGGACCAUCUGUCCCGGUUCGUGUUAGAACCGGGACUAAAGGGGGGAGGUAUUAGUAACGACCAAUUAGUCCCGGUUCAUGAACCGGGACUAAAGGCCCUUACGAACCGGGACAAAUGCCCCCUUUUCUACUAGUGUGAUAUUGUGUUCUACCAUGCCCUCACUCCUUUUCCCUCUUGUCAACGGUACUACUUUCAGGUGGAAUACACAGAGAACAAUUUGAAGGAGUACAUCCACAGAGAUGGUGAUACCCUACCAGCAGUGGCGGAGCUACAAACAGAUUCUUGGGCGGGCCAAUGUGAACCUGUGCUACAACUGGGCUGCUGCAACUGACCUGUGUUAUAGUGCGUGGGCUGGGCCUAGUUACAAAUAUGUAUUUUUGCAGAAAAGUAGGGUGGGCCAAGGCCUGGUUUGGCCCUCACGUAGCUCUGCCAGUGCCUACCAGUCAAGCUUGGAGAUGGACCGUAGCUUGCGACGGUCGAUUCAUGCUUGGAACUGACAAGGGGGCCACCAUCACGACGAACUAAUCAUGAUUUCGCCACCACCCGGACAUCUAGCAAGGUGACAUUUGCACCUUGCUUUUCGAGCACAAGGAAGGGCGUCACCUCUCUCUCAUGUGCACUGUCUCUAGACGCACCAUCGUCAGCCGCAGCUACCGCCUAUACAUAUGAUCCAUGUAUGGUCUUUCAUUUCUAUCUAAGACUUGAUAUGCCCGCGCUCUGAUGAUUCAGUGAACUAUGCCCUCUCUAAGACUUAAUAUGUCUGUGCUCUGUUGAUCCAGUGAACUAUGUCUCUCUUUUGGAAAUCGCCCACCUUGUAGAGGAUGUUAGAGUUUGAUUUCAACCGAUCACCAUGCUCUGUGAUGAGUCAUCCAUCCUGUAAGACUGUCACCUCUCUGUUAAGAUUGACAUGCGUGCUUUAUGAGUUAAUAUUGUAUUGCUGCAGUUCUAUUCCAUGUAAUCUCUUUUAACAAUUGGCACUCAUUUGCGCUGCGUAAAGACGUUACCAAAUGCUUCGGCAAGAUUAGUACUCACAGUAUUGCAGAGGAGGCGCGUCAAGGGCGCAUCCCAGCCACUAGUAAAGUCUAUUUUCCGUCAAAGAUAAACUCGGGCCGGCAGACAGAUGAUAGGUCCUGUAUAUCAGAGAACAUAUGCCACAAACAAAAACGUGUGCGACAACGGUAGCUCACAAUCAUGUCCCUGAAUCACGAGUUAUUUGUACUCCCUUCAUCCCAAAAUAAAUGUCUCAAAUUUAGUGCAACUUUAUAUUAGAGUUAACAUAAAGUUGAGACAUUUAUUUUAUUUUGGGACGGGGGAGUAUUAGUUUCGUUCACUAUAUAGACGUAGAUAUACUAUUUGUUUUGGCAGACAAUGCUGCAGUAAUAACAAAACCUUCAUGUUAGCGGCGCCUUCUAACCAGAGUGUAGCAACGAGCUUUCCGGCCCGUGCUGUGCUGCCCUCUGGUGACGCUCAGAGUCUCGGCACACUGACACCUCAGCUAUGAUUCCUAUGAACGCGGCGCGACCGUCUCCUCUAACCGACGACGACGGUUCGCGCCACCUGGUGUUGCGUCGCGUCUCCGCGCACCGCCCGAGCUCAGUUGUUGGUUUCCUUCGUCGCGUUACGCGCGUCAUCUUGGCCGCUCCCGCGUCACGAUCCAACAGCGAGGUCUACCUGCAUUUGACGGGCGGCGCGCGGCGCCGUUUGACAGAUCGCGCCGGGUCAUCACCGUUUUUACCCCGUCGCGCCGGUCGCCCCGACCUGACACCUGCGCGCUCGCGAGUCGCGACGACGAUCGCACUCCAUCACGAACUCAGCGGCGGAAAACGAGCCUGGCCGGGGAGGAUCGGGCGUGUGUACGGGGUUGACCGCGUGCAGGCUCUCGCGGCAGACAUCAAUGGGCUCGCACCGCGCUGCCGCCUCUGCGCGCCGACGGAAAACGAUGGGCAUCGCAUCACACUCCGUAUGCUGCUCGUACUACGUCCUAUUUCUGCUAUCCACAUCACGAAUUUAAGCCAGUGACCGUCCGUCUUUCCCGUUCCACCUGGCAGGCUCAAGACUCUCUUCAAGCUGCCAGCAGGCAGCUGACUUUUGUGAAUCAUUUGAUAGGCUCGCGUCUCGUUGCCUCUCAGUGUCUUUGUCGCCUCUUGGGAUGCCGAUGCCGAUGCCGUUUGUCUUCUCCAUUUUUCGGUUUUUAGAGCAGCGUAACCUGUGGCCGGAGAGUGAGUGCAGGACAACUCUGGCAAUGGCAAUCAUGCAAACAGUGUGUCGUCCCAUGGGCGAGAGCGACACGGCUUGAAGGGCAGCACGCCCAAGUCAAACCCCUGCUCCCGUUUUGCUGGACGCCGUGUACGGGCAGGGGUCGUCGGCCCGUCCCUGCACCCAUCUGUUGAUAUCGUCCAGCGCCUGGCCGACCCAUGAUCAUCUCCAACCAAAUGUCAACCCUUGAACUAUUCGUAACGAAUGCAAUCAAUCAUCCAAGUAAACCCCGUGCUUUCUUGGCCCUCGACUGACUUAAACCCUAGCGGCCACAUUCUGUCCGGCGCCUACUGUUCGUGGCACUGCUGCGUCAUCGUCUCCUGCCUCCAUUCAUCCCAGCCUCGAACUGCCAACGGCGAACUGAUUCGCCAACAAGAUCUGUGACUUUUUCUGAAGAGAGAGACGGAGCUUUGAGGAUAGGGAAGCUUGAAUGCAGGCAGGCCGCAUUCAUUGCGGGUUAGCGCUCCGAUCCCUUAUCGCUUUCACAAUGAUGAUGCAGCUUGCGUAGGGUUCGCUUUAGUCGCGACUUUGGUUGCCGCCUGCCUUUGAUCGGCGUAAACCGGAACGAAGAAACAUGGUGUCCAACUGAAGCUGAUUCCGUAGCAUUACUAUUGUGCGUACCUCAUUCGUCUUCUCAUUCCUCAGUGUCAAGUGUGAGUACUAAGCAGCACAUGAAAACUGUGAUGCGGCCAGUCCGGGUCGACAGUAGUGUGUGUCGUCUGUUAGACUUAGAGAUAUAUUGCUUUUGUAAUCUCAAACUAACUCUAUCUCUUCCUCUCCCGUAGCUCCUUGUAUCUUCUUUGUAACAAACCGAAUACCAAGAGAUCGGUAGCUUCUUGUAAGCCACGGCAGGGGCAAUUUCUGCCUCGAUCAAUAUAACCCCACGCAGCUCUCUACGGAGAGUAGGAACGCUUCUCAUCUAACAUGGUAUGAGAGCCAAGAAGUAUUGAGUUCAAGACCCUGCCAACGCAGUGUUAUAAAAAUGAUUUUGCGGCCUACAACAAACCCACGUCUAAGGACUAAAAUAGCCUAGACGCGAGGGAGAGUGUUGAAAUAUAUUGCCCAUCUCCCUCCAUCAGUUCAGACUUAUGGAUGAGUUGGAUGGACCAUGAAUUCAAUAUGGUAUACAGAGCCAUCCUCUUCCCAUCGAUCUAGCCAGCAACCUCCUUCCUCGUUUACCCACGCCAUGUCGUCGUCAUCCACCGUCUCCCUCAACCUUGGUGCUCUCCCAUCUGAGAAGCUCACCAAGACCAAAUUCAUCCUAUGGAAGGCACAUGUCAUGCCGGGCCUGCGAGGAGCGCAGGUCACCGGCCUCCUGGACGGAUCUGAGGUAGCGCCACCGAAGACGGUGCAGCAGCAGCAAGCGGACAAAAUUGUCGCCGCACAACCCAAUCCUCUGUAUGCACAGUGGAUAUCAAAGGACCAGCAAGUCCUCAGCCACCUCCUGAAUUCUCUGUCAAUGGAGAUCCUCGCCCAAGUUGCGAGCAAAGAGAUAACGUUUGAUCUCUGGACUGCCAUCACCACCCUGUUUGCCUCGCAGUCCCAAUCGCGCAUCACCAACCUGCGGAUUGCCAUCACAACACCAAAAAAGGCUCCAUGUCCAGCAGCGCCUAUAUCUCCAAGAUGAAGAACCUGGGGGAUGAGCUCGGAGCGGCAGGUCACCCCGUCUCAGACCCAGAUAUGGUGGACUACGUUCUUGCCGGCCUCGACAAAGAUUAUGACCCUGUUGUGGCAGCCAUCGGCGCAGUAAAAAAUCAGAUCUCAGUCGAUGACUUAUUCGCUCAGAUUGCAGUGUUUGAUCAACGCGUAGAGAUGCUCGGCGAUGGUCCUGAUGGAGGGUUCAAGACCUCGGCAAACCUAGCCUACAGGGGGCAUGGGUGCAGCUACAGCAGAGGCCGCGGGCGCAAAUGUUGGGUAACGUAGUAAUUUAAAAAAAAUCCUACGCACACACAGGAUCAUGGUGAUGCAUAGCAACGAGAGGAAGAGUGUGUCCACGUACCCUCGUAGACCGAAAACGGAAGCGUUAGCACAACGCGGUUGAUGUAGUCGUACGUCUUCACGAUCCGACCGAUCAAGUACCGAACGCACGGCACCUCCGAGUUCAGCACACGUUCAACUCGAUGACGUCCCUCGAACUCCGACCCAGCCGAGCUUUGAGGGAGAGUUCCGUCAGCACGACGGUGUGGUGACGAUGAUGAUGUUCUACCGAUGCAGGGCUUCUCCUAAGCACCGCUACGAUAUUAUCGAGGUGGAUUAUGAUGGAGAGGGGCACCGCACACGGUUAAGAGAUCCAAGGGAUCAAUUGUUGUGUCUAUGGGGUGCCCCUUGCCUCAGUAUAUAAAGGAAGAGAGGAGGGAAGGGGCCGGCCCUCUCUAUGGCGCGCCCUGGGGAGUCCUACUCCCACCGGGAGUAGGAUUCCCCCCUUCCAUGUAGUAGGAGUAGGAGUCAAGGAAAGGGAAAAUAGAAGAGAAGGAAGGAGGGGGCGCAGCCCCUCCCCCUAGUCCAAUUCGGACUAGGCCUUGGGGGCGCGCACAGCCUCCCCUCUCUCUUUCCCCUAAAGCCCAAUAAGGCCCAUAUACUCCCCGACGAAUUCCCGUAACUCUCCGUUACUCCGAUAAAUACCCGAAUCACUCGCAACCUUUCCAAUGUCCGAAUAUAGUCGUUCAAUAUAUCGAUCUUUACGUCUCGGCCAUUUCGAGACUCCUCGUCAUGUUCCUGAUCUCAUCCGGGACUCCAAACUACCUUCGGUACAUCAAAACACAUAAACUCAUAAUAUAACCGUCAUCAAACUUUAAGCGUGCGGACCCUACGGGUUCGUGAAUUAUCUAGACAUGACCAAGACACGUCUCCGGUCAAUAAAAAAAUAGCGGAACCUGGAUGAUCAUAUUGGCUCCCACAUAUUCUACGAAGAUCUUUAUUGGUCAAACCGCAUAACAACAUACGUUGUUCCCAUUGUCAUCGGUAUGUUACUUGUCCGAGAUUCGAUCGUCGGUAUCUCAAUACCUACUUCGAUCUCAUUACCGGCAAGUCUCUUUACUCAUUCCGUAAUACAUCAUCCCGCAACUAACUCAUUAGUUGCAAUGCUUGCAAGGCUUAUAUUGAUGUGCAUUACCGAGUGGGCCCAGAGAUACCUCUCCGACAAUCGGAGUGACAAAUCCUAAUUGUAAGUGCAUUUAGUGCCACCCCUAGUUGGUUUUGGAGUAUUGACGACAAAGUUGGUUGAGGGACUAAUGCGUUUGUGAGAAUUGCAGAAUAACGCAGGUAGUGUCCCUCAUUGAUUCGGUUUACCUACCGGAGAUGACCCCUAAAAAUGUAUGAAGACAUUGAAGACAAUGGUGGUAUGAGAAGAUAUUCAUAUUGAAGACUAUGACAUGAGAAGACAUUGUGUGAAGACUAUGGAGCACGAAGACUGUGUGGUUUCGUUGUUUCCUUUUCUACUUUGUUGAGUCAUAGGAACCACCGUACUGUUAAGUGGGGUCCAAGUGAACUAAGUCAGAGUGACUGAAGUGAUGCUCAACCCAAAUCCUAUGUCUUCGAGCGAAGACAAUGAGAGAAAAUCUUAUCCAGAGUUGGAUGAGUCAGCUUUGCUUGUAGCCCAAGUAAAGUUGCCGUGUGUGUUUGAAAUCUGACCGUUGGAACACGUGUCAGUUCCUUAGUGACCCAGGGUCAUUUCGGACAAAUCAGGUCGGGUUGCCUAGUGGCUAUAAAUAGCCCACCCCCUACACCAUAAAUUGGUGGCUGCUCAGAGUUAAGAUAUGUCUUUUGUCGUUUGAGAGCAACCCACCUCGAAGCAUUUGAGAGAGAGAAAUCCUUGCGAGGACAAAGCCCAAACACCCAGAGCCAAAGAGUGUUAGGCAUCACUGAAGUCUUUCUGUCUGUGUGACCUGAAGACUUAUUACACUUGAGGACUGUGUAUCCUCCAGCCGGUUAGGCGUCUCGUUCUGAGCAUCCAAGAGUCAUUGUGGAUUGCCGGGUGAACGGAGUCUGUGAAGGUUUGGAAGUCUACCUUGAAGACUUACCAGAGUGAUUGGGCGAGGACUGGGUGUCCUUAGCUCAAGGGGAAUAAGGUGAAGACACGAUCUUCUGAGUUGAAUCUCAGCCUCCCUAACUAGACGUACAGUUGUCACAGCAACUGGAACUGGUCCAACAAAUCCUGUGUCUUCAACAAGCAACUGGUUCUAUCUCUUCCCACCUUUACUUGAGUUUGUCUUCGUGAAGUCAUUGCUUAUCGUCUUAUCUGAUUGACUUCAUUGCUUGACUACUAUUGUUGAUUGGCUUCAUACUAUCUUCCAUCCCGAUCCUACUACCUAGCUGCUAAUAAUCUUUAAACGUUAAUGCUAUUGCAUACUUGAUUAUGGCUUGCUUGUUGUAGUUUAUCUUCCGCUGCAUAUCAAUUAGGUUGCCUCUAGUGUUUGUCUUCGAAACUUCCAUGUUUUGAAGACUUUCAUAAAAAUCGCCUAUUCACCCCCCUCUAGUCGAUAACUAGCACUUUCAAUUGGUAUCAGAGCAAGGUACUCCCUUGUUCUGUGUGAUUCGGUUUAACCACCUGGAGUUUAGCUAUGUCGACUGCAGGGAUAAUCAAAGUCUCCGCUGCUUGCCCCGUGUUCGAUGAAACUGAAUAUCCCUACUGGAAGAAUAAGAUGCGCAUGCAUCUUGAAGCCAUUGAUGUCGACCUCUGGUAUGUUGUCAAGAAUGACAUUCCCAAAGCUGGUGAAGGUGUCACCCCUAUUGAUGUCAAGAAGUUCAUUCAACUGGACUCGACUGCAAAGAACAUCAUCUGUGGUCAUCUGACCAAAGGACAGUAUGGCCGAGUGAGUGCUCCGGAAACCUCAAAGCUAGUCUGGGACUGGCUGUCUAAGGUCAAUGAAGGCGUCUCUACAUUGAGAGACCAGAGGAUCAGUGUUCUUCGCAAUCUCUUCAAUCGCUUCAAGAGAAACGACAAUGAAAAUGUCCAUCUCACGUUUGACCGCCUCACCGACAUCACAAAUGAGCUUCAGGCUCUCGGCGCCACUGAGAUCACCAAGCAUGAAAUUGUCAAGACACUGCUAAGAUCACUUGACACCUCCUUUGACACCCUUGCCCUCAUGAUACAAGAACGUCCUGACUUCAAGACACUCGAUCCGUCUGAUAUACUUGAGAGGCUCAACACACAUGAGUUCCAGCUUUCUGAGAAAAGAUAUAUCUAUGGCCCCAACUAUGGCCGAACUCGUGCUUUGAAGGCAAAAGUUGUUUCCUCAUCUGAAGAAGAAGAAUCUGACUGCGGUUCUGACGAUCCUGAAGACAUUGGAAGGGAGCUUGCUAUGCUUGUGAAGAAGUUCCAGAAAUUCACCAAGAAGAAGGGCUUCAGAAAGUCUUCAUGAUCCAGUUCAAGAAAUGAUGAAGCUUCCACUCAAGACAACAAGAAGAGAACAUGUCACAAGUGUAAGAAGCCUGGGCACUACAUCUCUGAGUGUCCUCAGUGGGACAACGAGAAGAAGAAGAAGAAGAGCAAGGAAUAUGACUCCGAUGACAAGAAGAAGAAGGAAUAUGACUUUGAGUGUCCUCAUCCGGCAAGGCUCGUGCUUUUGUUGGCAAGGAAAAGGAUUCAGAGGAGGAGUCUGCUUCUGAGGAGGCAGAGGAGGAAUCUGAAGCUGAAUCCGACUCCGGCGUUGCAAGUCUGGCUCUGGCCACUGCCUAUGUUGCCAAGUCCAUCUUCAACACUGAAGACAAUGACUCACACACCAACGCUGAUGAUGACAAGGACAAUCUUGCUCCCACCUACUGCUUCAUGGCACGCGGUACCAAGGUAAAAUCACGCGAUGCUUACUUUCAAACAUCAAGUGAAGAUGACUCUGAUUGUGAAUCCAAACCCAGCUACAAAACACUUGCUAAAAUUGAAACUGAACAACAAAAGGCUAUGGAAUAUACUCAAAAACUGUUAGACAAAAGCGAUGACCUGUUGGACGCGGAAAUGACACGUACACAGUCCUUAGUUGAAGACAUAAAAAAUCUUCAUGCUAAGUAUCAAGAACUUGAAAAUCUUCAUGAGACGCUCUCAACCUCUAAUGAAAAGCUCUCCUAUGAUUAUCUUCAAAGGAAGCAAGACCUUGAGAAAUUGAAAGCGGCUCAUGAAGAUCUUCAAAAGGAAAAUGUGUCACUUCGCGCUCAACAGAUCAGUUCCGCUCAGGAAGGAUUUGAACCACCUUGCUUAAAAUGCAUUGAGCGUGAUAACGCUGCCUCUCUUGCUGAAUCUUCCACUGCCGCUACUGUUGCUCUGUCUUCAACUACUGAUGUGGUAACUAACCCCUCUUCUAAGGAUACCACUACUAUUUCUAAUGAAAAUGCUAGGUUGAAGACAUUGCUUGAAACAGGGAUGUAUAAGAGUCUGAAAGGGCAUCAGACACUUUGUGAUGUCCUCAAAAAGCAGAUUCUGAACCGAAACCCUAGGAAAGAGGGUGUUGGGUUCGAGAGGAAAAUGAAUGCUGAUGGUUCCUACUGGAAGCCUGAGCAGUAUCCCAAAACCACAUGGGUUGUUGCAAAGGAACCUUCAGUGGAUCCAUCUACUUUAUCUGGAUAUACCUGUGCUAAUCCUAUUAUCAUUGAUGAAUCCUUUGAUGCAAACUAUAAACUGUUCAAAAAUCAUAAUGGUGAAGUGUUUGCCAGGUAUAUUGGUACUAACUGCAGGAAUGGACCUCCAAUGAACAAGAUCUGGGUUCCCAAAAGCUAUCUUGAAAAUCUUCCGGUGAAUGUUGUCAUGACACCACCUAUGAAGAAGACAAAUCCCGGACCAAAGGCAUCACAUGGUCCAACGGCUUCAUACGGAAACAGGACUCACCCGAGUCACCCUAACGCCAAUGUUUUGCAGGGAAAUCAUACUCAAACUUAUGAAUAUGAGCGUGUGUCUUCAAACCGCUAUGUUCAUAAUACUAAGAACUUUUCUGCUUAUUCAUAUGAGUAUCAUUCAUCUCCUGCAAGGCUAUUUGCUAGGGCUUCAAAGCCGAAAUUCUCAGAUGCUGCACUUAGACUCAUUGCUUCUAAGCCACCCCUGAAGAUGUGGGUGGUGAAGAAGAACUAACUCUCUUUUGCAGAAAAUGGUCUCCAGCCAGUAAUCAAUGGCGUCCGAUAUUAUUGCUGGGGACCUAAAACACAAAGGGACGCAUGAUGAAAUCACUUAAUAUGUAUUCCACAUAUGAAUCGCUUACCUUCAUACUGUGUGCUAACUCUCAUCUAUGCUGUGAUAAUCCAAGUGUGUAUCAAAUGCUUAUGCUUCACAACAUACAUUGUGAAGCCUAUCCCUCUAACUGCACUGUAGGGUACACAAAAAGCUUCAGAAUGGAUUAUUGACAGCGGAUGCACUAAUCAUGUGACAGGCGAUCAAAGUCUUCUCAUGGACUCAACCUUACGUCCAACCGACAAGAGUCAAAUCACAUUUGCUGACACUGGUAAAGGCAAAGUAUUGGGUCUAGGUAGAGUUGCAAUCUCAAAGGAUCAACACAUGGAUAAAGUGAUGCUUGUUGAAUCCCUUGGAUUCAACUUAAUGUCUGUCUCAAUGCUUUGUGACUUAAACAUGAUUGUGAUAUUUGGAAAAUAUCGUUGCCUUGUACUAAUGGAAUCUGACAAAUCUCUAGUCUUUGAAGGGUAUAAGAAAGGUGAUCUAUACAUGGUAGAUUUCUCAGCAGGUCCAAAACUUGCCGUAUGUCUUCUUGCAAAAGCUUCAGAAUGCUGGCUCUGGCAUCGCAGGCUGGGGCACGCUGGCAUGAGGAACUUGCAGACUCGUCAAAAGGAAGCAUGUCAUAGGCAUCGAAGGUGUCAAGUUCAAGAAAGAUCAUCUGUGUGGUGCCUGCGAAGCUGGAAAGAUGACAAGGGCCAAGCAUCCUUCAAAGACAAUCAUGACGACAUCUCAACCCUUUGAGUUGUUGCACAUGGACUUAUUUGGACCUACCCACUACUCCACCCUCACAACAACGGCGUGUCUCUAUGGCUUCGUCAUUGUUGUUGACUACUCAAGAUACACAUGGGUGCACAUAAUUCUCUACAAGACUGAAGUACAAGAUGUCUUCAGACGAUUCGCCAAUCGAGCAAUGAACAACUAUGGCGUCAUGAUCAAGCAUAUCAGAAGUGAUAGCGGCACUCAAUUCAAGAACAUCGACCUUGAUCUUUAUCUGGAUACAAUGGAAAUCACUCAUGAAUUUUCUGCUCCAUAGACACCUCAGCAAAACGGCAUUGUAGAGCGCAAGAACAGAACCCUCAUAGAGAUGGCUUGAACAAUGCUUGACGAGUACAAGACACCAAGAAAGUUCUGGCCUGAAGCCAUUGAUACAGCUUGUCACAUCAUCAACCGUGUCUACAUCCAUAAGCUUCUGGGCAAAACAUCCUAUGAGCUCCUCACUGGCAAGAAGCCAAAUGUCAGCUACUUCAGAGUCUUUGGUGCUAGAUGUUGGAUCAAGGAUCCCCAUCACAAGUCAAAAUUUGAACCCAAAGCUCACGAAGGCUUCAUGCUUGGCUAUGGAAAGGAUUCGCACUCCUACAGAGUCUUCAACCUCUUCCACUACAAAAUCGUUGAAAUAGUGGAUGUGCGAUUUGAUGAAACCAAUGGUUCACAAAGAGAAAUUCUGCCAAGUACACUUGAUGAAGCUCCUUCCUGUGAAUCUAUCAAGUUGAUGGGAACUGGUGAGAUCAUGCCCUCUGAAGCACAGCCUGAAGAGGAACUUAUCAUUUCUGCACCAAACCAACCUGAAGACAAUGCUCAGACCGAAGACAAUACUUCCAAUGAUGACAAUGAUCAGCAUGAGCAAGGACUUCGUCCAGUUCAUCCUCGUGUUGCAAAUGAAGUACAAAUCGAGAAGAUAAUUGAAAGCAUCAAUGCGCCUGGUCCGCUUACUCGAUCAAGGGCAACACAGCUAGCAAAUUUCUGUGGGCAUUUUUCAUUUGUAUCAAUAUCUGAACCCAAGAGAGUUGUUGAAGCUUUUAUGGAACCUGAAUGGAUUCAAGCCAUGCAAGAAGAACUUCAACAGUUCAAGCUGAAUAAUGUUUGGGAACUUUUCAAGCGACCUGACCCUCGCAAGCAUAACAUUAUUGGAACAAAGUGGAUAUAUCGAAACAAGCAAGAUGAGCAUGGUCAAGUCGUCAGAAACAAAGCACGUCUUGUGGCUCAAGGAUAUACUCAAGUUGAAGGAAUUGACUUCGAUGAAACAUUUGCUCCUGUUGCUAGGCUUGAAGCUAUUCGCAUAUUGCUAGCCUAUGCUAAUCAUCACAACAUCUUGCUAUAUCAAAUGGAUGUAAACAGUGCAUUUCUCAAUGGCAAGAUUGAAGAAGAAGUGUAUGUUGCACAACCACCUGGCUUUGAGGAUCCAAAACAUCCUGAUAUGGUGUACAAACUGAACAAAGCACUGUAUGGCCUCAAACAAGCUCCUCGUGCCUGGUAUGAUACAAUCAAAGACUUCCUGAAGAGCAAAGGCUUCAAACCUGGAUCCCUCGAUCCCACUCUCUUCACGAAGACAUAUGAUGGUGAACUGUUUGUGUGCCAAAUAUGUUGAUGACAUAAUCUUCGGCUGCACCAACCAGAAGUACAGUGAUGAGUUUGGGCAUAUGAUGCAAGAGCAAUAUCAGAUGUCCAUGAUGGAUGAGCUGAAGUUCUUCCUUGGUCUUCAAAUCCGUCAACAAAGAAAUGGCAUCUUCAUAUCUCAAGAAAAAUAUCUCAAAGAUUGCCUGAAGAAGUUCGGCAUGCAAGAUUGCAAAGGUUACACGACGCCAAUGCCAGCCAAACAUCAUCUUGGUCCCGACGACAAUGGUAAAGAGUUCGAUCAAAAGGUAUACCGCUCCAUGAUUGGUUCUUUACUUUACCUAUGUGCAUCUAGGCCAGAUAUUAUGCUUAGUGUUUGCAUGUGUGCUCGAUUCCAAGCGGCACCAAAGGAAUCGCAUCACCUAGCAGUGAAGCGAAUUCUUAGAUAUUUGGCUUACACCCCAACACUCAGAUUAUGGUAUCCAAAGGGCUCAAGGUUUGAUCUGGUUGGAUUCUCGGAUGCUGAUUAUGCCGGUGACAAGGUGGAUCGCAAGUCAACAUCAGGCACAUGUCAUUUUCUUGGUCGAUCACUUGUCUGUUGGUCUUCAAAGAAGCAGAACUGUGUAUCACUCUCAACUGCUGAACCUGAAUACAUUGCUGCUGGAUCCUGUUGUGCUCAGCUUCUGUGGAUGAAGCAAACUCUCAAGGACUAUGGCAUCGAUCUGAAGCAAGUCCCUCUCUUCUGCGACAACGAAAGUGCCAUCAAAGUUGCCAACAAUCCAGUCCAGCACUCGAAGACAAAUCACAUUGAAAUUCGUCAUCACUUUCUCAGAGAUCAUGUUAUGAAGAAGGAUAUAGAUAUCAAGCACGUCAACACUGAAGAGCAACUGGCAGAUAUUUUCACAAAGCCCUUGGACGAGAAAAGGUUUUGCAAGUUACAGUGUGAGCUAAAUAUUUUGGAAUCCUCUAAUGUCCUGUGAUCAGGCACACAUCCUAACACUUAUGCAUGUUGAUGACUUAGAUGUGCAACACACAAAGUAAUGUAUAUCUUCAAUCAAUGAAGAUUUACACUCUGAGUGUGAAUACAUUAACAUGGAAUUUGACUUCGGAGCGCCACGAUAAUUGUGCGCCGUGUCUGGGUCUAAUACUUCCUAUACGGUGGGUAACGCCACCACCAAAUUUCUCUGUUUGAAGUGUUUCACUCAUGGCGUUAUUUUGCAAAGAUUUCGCAUUUGGUUUGUCUUCAGUUUCAAUUUAUCUUCGUGAUUUUUUUCUGCGCUAUAGUGAUUUGAUUGCAUAUAUAUAUAUAUAUAUAUAUAUAUAUAUAUAUAUAUAUAUAUAUAUAUACUAGCGUUCUGCCCUCUACAGCAUUCACUUAUAGCUAUGUCUUCACUGUUGAAUCUUUUGAACUAAGUGAAUGUGAUCGGACCCUAAUCUCUCUAUGCUUACUAUCUCAAACUCUAUCUGUCCAAAUCAUAUGCAUUCUAUUGAAACUGUCGAAUGUCUUCUCUGCAUCCUUGUCAGCAGAAGACACAGAGACAAAACAUCAAGUCCUAUUUAAAUGAAUCAUCUUAAUUGUCGAUAUCCGGAGAAGCCGGAAUGAACAUCCGACAUACUUGGCGGGCGUGGGAACGUGGGACAAUUCUAAAUGUGUUGCAUGCUUGCCAUGUACCCCACGGAUGUGAACAGACAGGGGCACCUGCGUAAUUGCGCUGUGCUGCACACCUACUUAUAAAUAUGUGUCCCCUACGGUAAAGAAAUCCUUCUUCCACCUCUCCACCUCCGUCAAAACCCUAGCGCCACCGCUAGCUCCCGACGACGCCAGCGACGAAGCACUUAGCUGCCGCAACUUCUCCGAUGCCGUCCUCACGCCGGCCGCGGACAUCGUCCUCUCCGCCGUCGCCGUACGUGUCCUCCGUCGCCAAGUUAGGGCACGGUGGGCUGAACUGCUCGGUCUCUCAUUCUUCCCAUCUAGCAGUUCGUCGUGCGGUAAUUAUAACUCUAUUUUUACCACCUUUUUGAUCUUCAUAGAUUCAUCCUACUUAUCGAAAGUGGUUUCUGCCUAUCCAAUGUUGAAUCGAUUCUGUCUGCAUCUCUUAAUGCCUAGCAUAUUCACUUAGAUUUACUAUCUAGUUUGAUUCCUCACUUGUACUUAUUCACGGAUUGGUACAAAUCUGGAACCAACUCACCACAUAUAAGUGAAUGUCUUCGCAUCAUGAGGUCAAUGUCUUCCAACUGAUUUAUCUUCAUAAUCUUCUGAGAAUGCAUAUGACCUCUUCCCCUUCCCUCGCAUCUCUAAUGCUGUCACAGGUACAUGUCCGUGGGAGAAUCCCUUGGUUCUCAUAGUCUGUAUUCGUUUGCAGAAUACUUACAGCAUCAUAUCAAUUCUCCUGAAGCCAGUUCCUGCUUGACCAGCAAGCGUAAAUCUGUGAAGCCUCUGAACGUAUUGAAGCCAUUCAGCUUGAAGUUCAUGGCUGCAGAAAAAUCAGCAAGGAAGGAUGGCAGACAGCAUCGUGGGGGAACUUCUAGGGAUCUGCCUGAUGAUCUUGUAGAUAUAUACAAAACAGAUCCUGAAGAAGAUUACAAUCAACGCAAGACUCGAAUCCAAUGGAUUCGUCGCUAUUGGGCUGAACAGUGGUACAAGUACAAGUUCGUCACCCAGGAGUACGCAGAGAAGUAUGCUAUCAAGAGCUCUUGGGGUGAUAUUCUCUAUCGAGGCCUUCCCCCCAAGAACAGAGCUGAAGCCAUUGAGCAAAAAUUCUAUCCAUGCAUGGUCCGUGGACCACAGCCUGAAGAAGCCGACCCAUCAUCAUUACUCUGGUGUCGCGACGACAAUCUCUUCAAGCGCAACUUCCAGUUUGCUGUGGCUUCGGCAAAGGAAAACAAGAAGUCAUGGGGGUUGGACUUCAAUCCUGGUCCCUCUGCUCCCCGUGAGGAUGGGACUCGUGAAGCUGAAGAGAAUAGAAUUGGCCCCUUUGCAAACCUUGAUGGUCUCAUCUCCUACGUCUUGGUUCAUGGUGCCAAAGUGGAUCAUCCCAACAAUGAUUCUGAUUCAGAUGAAGCCCCUGCUCCUACUCCAAGGCCGAAGAAGCCAAAGAAGGUUAAGGUUUCAUCAUCAGCCGCACCUCCAAAAGCUUCUCGUCUGAAGCCAUUGGCCACUGCACCUCUUGAAGCCAGUGUGCAGUCUGAAGAUCAAUCUCGUAUCUCCAAGAAGACGGAGAAGAAAAGACAACUUCUCAGGCAUACUAAUCAAGCUCUGACUCCUGCUGCUAUUCUGCGUGAAGAACCCAUUGAUCUAUCAAGUGAUGAAGAUCUUGCGGAUGAUGCUCUUGAGCAGCUGAUAAAGAGCAACGAAGAAGCAGAAAUCUUCAGCAAUUUGCCUCUCUUUGAUGUGGCCAUCAUCCACAAUUUCAUUGAUGAGUGGUUCGACACCCCAAAUGUCAGCUUUGAAGAUUUACAGCUUCCAAUUGGCCUCAGCGUCUCUUUCAAUGGCGCCAUUGCUUCUGAUCUGGCUCUCGCUCAGUGAAUCGUUGAGCUCAAGCACAAGAUUGAUUAUGAGAAGGCUCAAUUCAAGAAGCAUGUGGCUAAGCUCAGUGUUCAAGACGUCCGAAACUUUAAGGUCAUGCUGCAUGAGCUUAAAGAAGCUUUCCUGAAGAAGCGCCAAGAAGCUCAAGGCUCUCGUGAGCGCAUGAAGAGUUUGGCUGAUAAGUGUUUGCUUGCCUACAAUGAGGCUGAGAAGCGCAAGUCACUUGGCCGUCCUGGCAUUGACCCCAGGAUGGCAGCAAAGAAAAAGAAGUAGCUUCCUGCUGAUCAGCCUGCGCCUUCAAGCCAAGAAGCUCCACAUAUUAUCUUCCCAAGUAGCAUGACUGGCUCGAAGCCAAAGGUCACCACAACCGCUUCUGAACAGAAGAAAAUGAGGGCUGCAGAGGCAGAAGCCAGAAAGAGGAAGAAUACCGAAGCCUCUGAUGCCGCUCCCUCCAAGAAGAACCGCAAGAUCAAGAAGAAUCAGGCUGCUCCCACAAAGCCCCUUUUUGUUGAACCCAUCUCAAUGAUUCAUCCUGCAUCUGCAUCCCAAGAACUUCACCUGACUGUUCAUGAGCCUGCUUCCACAGAGGCUCCUGAAGCUGAAGAUAUUCCAGCAGCUGAACCCACCGCUGCUGAAGACAUUGGUCAUCAUGACAAUGUUGAAGAUGAUGAAGUUCUUCCUCAGCUCGAAUACAAUGUGGUAUCAUUGCCUGUUCGUACGAACAGCGAACUCAUCAGCAUUGGUCGUCCUCUGACGCCAAUUGCACAGGAUGAUUCAUGGGCUGAUCGCCCGCAAGCACAAGACUCCCCCAACACUCCCCACCAACAACAACAAGUCACAACAUCCGUACUAGCUGAAGAGGAUGAGGGCCUACCCACUCCAUCUCCAAAAGCGUCGCCAGUACUUCAAAGGCUUCGCAAAGGACCAAGGCCUCAAGCUCCUCUUCCGAGCGUUCCAGAAGGAGAAGUGCAUCAUCAACCUGUUGCACGUCAAGUGUUUUCUGAAGCCACUCCUGCUAUGAAUGUCUCUGCGUCUGAAGCACCUGCUGCUGAAGACAAUCCGGCUGCAUCAGCCAAUGAAGAGCAUCAAGAAGCACGUGUCUCUACUCCCCCCAGUCAAGAAGAAGAAGUUCAUGAUUUGAACGUGUCUGUGUCUGACCCUCCAGCUCCUUAAGUGGAGGUUGAAAAUGUUGAAGCUGCCACCACCAACGACAAUGAAGCCAAUGACAUUGUCUUGGCUGAAGCUAAUGUGGAGCUUGCACCAACCAGUGUGCCUGAAGCUAAUGCGGCCACUGUACCUGAAGCUGGUGAGGCAACUGCUCCAGAAGCACCUGUUAUACAACCUGAAGCCUCAGCUGCUGCCACUGCCUGUUCCAGCCCCAAGGCCCUACACAAUUGAGCAAGCAUAUAACCAUGGUGAACUAACAACAGUCAGAUGACCCGUUCUGGUCUCUCCGCCUAAUGUCUCUGGUCCUCAAUUUGACUAUCAUGUUGAGCAUAGGCCUCAAGUCCAGAAGCCCAAGCCAAGACUGCCAAGGUUUCCAGGUACUGCAAACUCAUCAGGGUCCUUCAAUGCUAAUGGUUUCAAGAGCCACAACACAUUCUUUGACAGCUCAAAGAACCCCUACACGAAGCCAAGAAUUGCAUCAGAUCGGUUCUGGAGCCAUCAGUAGCGAAGCUAUUACUCAUGUGUUCUGUAUGAUCAAGGGCGCAUCUUCCCUCAUAUGCGCCUCGACACUGAAGCCAUUACUGGACUCCCCUGCUUAGAAGAAAUACUUGACUGCUUUCGUGAUGCUGGGCUGCUCAGUUUUGUCACAGAUAAAGAACACUGAAAUGAAGAACUAUUGCUUCAAUUCUAUGCUACACUGCACAUUCGAGGCUACAACAGAGAUACAAAAACUUGGGUUCUCGAGUGGAUGACCGGAAACGUUCAUCAUGAAGCCAAAGCUAUGGAUAUCAUAGUUUACAGGCCUGUCCACUCCCGGAGAACUCUAUGAACCCGGCUUUCAACAACAUCGCAAUGCCCUGGAAAGCAUCUUUCAUAGGCCUGAACCCAAUAUGAGUCAGAUGCUGAGCAUGAUGAAGCCUUUGCCCCGUGAUGCUGAAUAUCCAACAGAGUUCUUUGUUGAAGACCUUGAGUAUCUGCCACGCACCAUAUAUCACAUCAUCAGGCGGACUCUAUGGCCUAUCAAAGGACAUUCAUCAGCGGUAAAUCUUGAAGAAGCUAUGAAGACUUUGGUCUUCUAUAUUUACAAUGGCAUCAGCUUCAAUGCACAAGAUUUCUUCAUCAGACAACUGGCUGCCUCUGGCUCUGAUCUCUUUGGUCUGAAGUUUUAUGCUCCAUGGGUCAUGCGCCUCAUAAAGCGACACUCUACUGUCAACUAUCAACCUUCUGCUCGCAAUCAUGUGAUUUUUCUACCUGAGGUUGAUAUGUCAGUUGAAGCUAUAUAUCCUGACCCUGCCAAGAAGCCUCUUUGUCUUCAGAAUGCCAAGCACCAAAGCUUCACUCAACCCAUUGAAGGUGUUCACGCAGCUACACGAAGCCACUGAAAGCACCAUUGCCCAAAGGCCUCGGAAGCGUUCUCGUGUUCUCAAUGACCGAGAACUUCUUGUGGCCCUUCAUCAGAAACAGGAUAAGCAUCAUUUCUGGCUCAAGAGACAGAUGCAAAGCAUCUUGGUGGAUGUCAAUCGCAUUCACAACCUUGCCACCAAGAAUGCCUUUGUUGCUCAUGAAACUUGCCGGUGAUCAUGGAAGAGUUUGACCCUGCUUAGUGCUGAAGCAGAUCUUCAAGACGAUGGCUUCAAUGAAAGAUUUCAGUUUGACUCCACUCCUCCACGGAAUGUUGUCUUACGAAGAACUCCAUCUCUUGAAGACUCUGAAUAUUCUUCCUCUGCGGCAACGGUAAAUGCCAGAGUGAUCAAUGAUGAAGAUGAUGCUACUUCGCCACCUCCUACUACUACUACGCGCAUCAACACUGCACCAAGUUCAUCUGCACCGCCACCCAACGACGACAACCAUGCUGCCUCACCUACUCAUCAAGAAGACGAGUAGAUGCUCUAUGUCUUCAAACCUUUUUGGUCAUUACUGACAAAAGGGGGAUAAGUGUAUGAGUUGAUAGUCUUCAAGCGGGUUCAUAUGGGCGGUUGCGUUAUAUUUUGCCUCGUGCUUACAACUCUUGCGUUUUGAAACAUUUGGUUCUCUGAGUAGUAACACUUAAACUUGAUGGUCGUCUGCUACUUAUAUGCAUUUCCACGUGCGCUGAUAACUUCCGCACUUAGAUCAUCCUGCAGACGUCCAUUUUUCAUUAUGCAUGUCAUCCUAUAUGCUACAUCAUUUCAUGCAUGAUGAAUUAUCUUCAUAAGUUGAAGUGGAUCUCCACAAGUACAACCUGCCAUGUGCAUUUGCAUUCCAAAAGCAAAAUUAUUUACAUGCACAUCUUCAGGGGGAGCCCUUGCUACUUAAGAAGAUAAAUUCCUAUCCUUUACAAUUUCACAUACUUUAUCCCUGUUGAAAACUUCAACCAGUUUGUCAUCAAUCACCAAAAUGGGGAGAUUGUAAGUGCAUCUAGUGACACCCCUAGUUGGUUUUGGAGUAUUGACGACAAAGUUGGUUGAGGGACUAAUGCGUUUGUGAGAAUUGCAGAAUAACGCAGGUAGUGUACCUCAUUGAUUCGGUUUACCUACCGGAAAUGACCCCUAAAAUGUAUGAAGACAUUAAAGACAAUGGUGGUAUGAGAAGAUAUUCAUAUUGAAGACUAUGACAUGAGAAGACAUUGUGUGAAGACUAUGGAGCACGAAGACUGUGUGGUUUCGUUGUUUCCUUUUCUUCUUUGUUGAGUCAUAGGAACCACCGUACUGUUAAGUGGGGUCCAAGUGAACUAAGUCAGAGUGACUGAAGUGAUGCUCAACCCAAAUCCUAUGUCUUCGAGCGAAGACAAUGAGAGCAAAUCUUAUCCAGAGUUGGAUGAGUCAGCUUUGCUUGUAGCCCAAGUAAAGUUGCCGUGUGUGUUUGAAAUCUGACCGUUGGAACACGUGUCAGUUCCUUAGUGACCCAGGGUCAUUUCGGACAAAUCAGGUCGGGUUGCCUAGUGGCUAUAAAUAGCCCACCCCCUACACCAUAAAUUGGUGGCUGCUCAGAGUUAAGAUACGACUUUUGUUGUUUGAGAGCAACCCACCUCGAAGCAUUUGAGAGAGAGAAAUCCUUGCGAGGACAAAGCCCAAACACCCAGAGCCAAAGAGUGUUAGGCAUCACUGAAGUCUUUCUGUCUGUGUGACCUGAAGACUUAUUACACUUGAGGACUAUGUAUCCUCCAGCCGGUUAGGCGUCUCGUUCUGAGCAUCCAAGAGUCAUUGUGGAUUGCCGGGUGAACGGAGUCUGUGAAGGUUUGGAAGUCUACCUUGAAGACUUACCAGAGUGAUUGGGCGAGGACUGGGUGUCCUUAGCUCAAGGGGAAUAAGGUGGAGACACAGUCUUCUGAGUUGAAUCUCAGCCUCCCUAACCAGACGUACAGUUGUCACAGCAACUGGAACUGGUCCAACAAAUCCUGUGUCUUCAACAAGCAACUGGUUCUAUCUCUUCCCACCUUUACUUGAGUUUGUCUUCGUGAAGUCAUUGCUUAUCGUCUUAUCUGAUUGACUUCAUUGCUUGACUACUAUUGUUGAUUGGCUUCAUACUAUCUUCCAUCCUGAUCCUACUACCUAGCUGCUAUUAAUCUUUGAACGAUAAUGCUAUUGCAUACUUGAUUAUGGCUUGCUUGUUGUAGUUUAUCUUCCGCUGCAUAUCAAUUAGGUUGCCUCUAGUGUUUGUCUUCGAAACUUCCAUGUUUUGAAGACUUUCAUAAAAAUUGCCUAUUCACCCCCCCUCUAGUCGAUAACUAGCACUUUCACUAAUCUCGAAAUAUGCCAACCCAACAAGUACCAUUGGAGACACCUGUAGAGCACCUUUAUAAUCACCUAGUUACGUUGUGACGUUUAGUAGCACACAAAGUGUUCCUCCGGUAAAUGGAAGUUGCAUAAUCUCAUAGUCAUAGAACAUGUAUAAGUCAUGAAGAAAGCAAUAGCAACAUACUAAACGAUCAAGUGCUAAGCUAACGGAAUGGGUCAAGUCAAUAAUGUAGAGUCAAUAAUGUAGUUCACAUCGCUAUGUGAUUAACACCCAAAGAGUACUAAGGUAUGAUCAUGUUUUGCUCGUGAGAGAAGUUUAGUCAACGGGUCUGUCACAUUCAGAGCCGUAUGUAUUUUGCAAAUAUUCUAUGUCUAUAAUGCUCUGCACGGAGCUACUCUAGCUAAUUGCUCCCACUUUCAAUAUGUAUCCAGAUUGAGACUUAGAGUCAUCUGGAUUAGUGUAAAAGCUUGCAUCGAUGUAACUCUUUAUGCCGAACUCUUUUAUCACCUCCAUAAUCGAGAAACAUCUCCUUAGUCCUCACUAAGGAUAUUCUUGACCGUUGUCCAGUGAUCUACUCCUAGAUCAAAAUUGUACUCCCUUGACAAACUCAGAGCAAGGUAUACAAUAGGUCUGGUACACAGCAUAGUGAUACGUCUCCAACGUAUCUACUUUUUCAAACACUUUUUUUGACUCUAACUUGCAUGAUUUGAAUGAAACUAACCCGGACUGACACUGUUUUCAGCAGAAUUACCAUGAUGUUGUUUCGUGUGUAGAAAACAAAAGUUCUCGGAAUGUCCUGAAAAUCCUCGGAGGCACUUUUCGGAAAAUAUAAAAAAUACUGGAGAAAGAAUCAAGUCCAGGGGGCGCGCUCUCCCCCCUAGGCGCGCCCCCCAGUCUCGUGGGCCCCCUGAGGCUCCGCCGACCUCAACUCCAACUCCAUAUAUUCCGUCUCGCGGAGAAAAAAAUCAGAGAGAAAGUUUCAUCGCAUUUUACAAUACAGAGCCGUCGCCAAGCCCUAAUCUCUCUCAGGAGGUGAUGUCUACUACACAACCUUCUUCUUGUAGACGUUGUUGGGCCUGCAAGUGCACAAGUUUGUAGGACAGUAGCAAAUUUCCCUCAAGUGGAUGACCUAAGGUUUAUCAAUCCGUGGGAGGCGUAGGAUUAAGAUGGUCUCUCUCAAACAACCCUGCAACUAAAUAACAAAGAGUAUCUUGUGUCCCCAACACACCCAAUACAAUGGUAAAUUGUAUAGGUGCACUAGUUCGGGGAAGAGAUGGUGAUACAAGUGCAAUAUGGAUGGUAGAUAAAGGUAUUUGUAAUCUGAAAUUAUAAAAACAGCAAGGUAACUAAUGAUAAAAGUGAGCAUAAACGGUAUUGCAAUGGUAGGAAACAAGGCAUAGGGUUCAUACUUUCACUAGUGCAAGUUUUCUCAACAAUAAUAACAUAGAUAGAUCAUAUAACAAUCCCUCAACAUGCAACAAAGAGUCACUCCAAAGCCACUAAUAGCGGAGAACAAACGAAGAGAUUAUGGUAGGGUACGAAACCACCUCAAAGUUAUCCUUUCUGCUCGAUCUAUUCAAGAGUUCGUAGUAAAAUAACAUGAAGCUAUUCUUUCCGCUCAAGCUAUCAUAGAGUUCAUACUAGAAUAACACCUUAAGACACAAAUCAACCAAAACCCUAAUGUCACUUAGAUACUCCAUUGUCACCUCAAGUAUCCGUGGGCAUGAUUAUACGAUAUGCAUCACACAAUCUCAGAUUCAUCUAUUCAACCAACACAAAGUACUUCAAAGAGUGCCCCAAAGUUUCUACCGGAGAGUCAAGACAAGAACGUGUGCCGACCCCUAUGCAUAGGUUCAUGGGCGGAACCCGCAAGUUGGUCACCAAAACAUACAUCAAGUGGCACAUGAUAUCCCAUUGUCACCACAGAUAAGCACGGCAAGACAUACAUCAAGUGUUCUCAAAUCAUUAAAGACUCAAUCCGAUAAGAUAACUUCAAGAGGAAAACUCAAUUCAUCACAAGAGAGUAGAGGGGGAGAAACAUCAUAAGAUCCAACUAUAAUAACAAAGCUCGGGAUACAUCAAGAUCGUGCCAUAGAGGGAAUGCGAGAGAGAACACGAGAGAGAGAGAUCAAACAUAUAGCUACUAGUACAUACCCUCAUCCCCGAGGGUGAACUACUCCCUCCUCGUCAUGGAGAGCGCCGGGAUGAUGAUGAAGAUGGCCACCGGUGAGGGAUCCCCCUCCGGCAGGGUGCCGGAACGGGCUCCCUAGAGGUUUUUGGUCGCUACAGAGGCUUGCGGCGGCGGAACUCCUGAUCUAUCUUGAUAUUCGAUGUUUUUAGGAUACGUAGCCUUAUAUAGGCUAAAGAAGUCGGUCGGGGGAGCCUCGAGGGGCCCACGAGAGGGUAGGGCGCACCCAGGGGGUGGGCGCGCCCCCCUGUCACGUGGCUUCCUCGAUGACCCCCCGGCUUGCACUCCAAGUCUCCUGGAUCAUAAUCUUUCCAAAAAUCACACUGCCGAAGGUUUCAUUCCGUUUGGACUCCGUUUGAUAUUUCUUUUCUUCGAAAUACUGAAACAGGCAAUAAAACAGCAAUAUGGGCUAGGCCUCCGGUUAAUAGGUUAGUCCCAAAAGUAAUAUAAAAGUGUAUAAUAAAGCCCGUAAUCAUUCAAAACAGAUAAUAAAAUAGCAUGAAUGCUUCAUAAAUUAUAGAUACGUUGGAGACGUAUCAGCAUCCCCAAGCUUAAUUCCUGCUCGUCCUCGAGUAGGUAAAUGAUAAAAGAAAGAAUUUAUGAAGUGUGAAUGCUAGAAGGUGCACAAGUUUGAUCAAUAAUAAUUUCAAUCACCUUUUCUAGUAUGUUUAUAUGUCAUAACAGUAGUUCAUAUCAUAAAACUUUUCAUGAUCAAGUAGCAAGUUGUUCACAUAUUAAAGCAUAGGCCAUAAACUUUCUCGAAAACUAGCAAACUUCAUUCUUAGUCAUCAAACAAUUGCAAUUCAUCUUAUUUUCAGGAAGGGUCUAUGUCAGAGCUUUGAUUUAGCAAACUCCACAUACUCAAGUAUCAUAUAGUCUUCUACAAUUGCUAACACUCACGUGAUAUUAAUGGGUCCAAAGUUUUAAUCGAACAUAGAGAAAGAUAGGGGCUUAUAGUGUUGCCUCCAAACAUAUUCACCUCUGGGUGAUGUCAACAAUAAUAGUUCAUGCUAAUGUACAUCCAAUUGGAUAUAUAUAUCAGGAUCACCCUAACACAAAGUGCUUGCCAAAGGACAAAAUGAAAGGGGCUUAUAGUGGCUUAUAGUGUUGACACUCACCAAUACUAAUGGUUAUGGAGUUUCAAUUGUACACUAAGAAAGAUAGGGGCUUAUAGUGUUGCCUCCCAACGUAUUCACCUUUGGGUGAUGUCAACAAUAAUAGUUCAUGCUAACUUACAUCCAAUUGGAUAUAUAUAUAUAUAUAUAUCAGGAUCUUUCCAACACGAGGUGCUUGCCAAAGGAUAAAAUGAAAAAGGGAAAGGUGAAGAUCACCUUGACUCUUGCAUAAAGUAAAAGACAUAAAGUAAAAGAUAGGCCCUUCGAAGAGGGAAGCAGAGGUUGUCAUGCGCUUUUAGGGUUGGAUACACAAAAUCUUAAUGCGAAAGAACAUCACUUUAUAUUGCCCCUUGUAUAUGGACCUUUAUUAUGCAGUCCAUCGCUUUUAUUGCUUCCAUAACAAGAUCGUACAAAGCUUAUUUUCUCCGUACUAAUAAGUCAUGCAUAUUUAGAGAGCAAUUUUUAUUGCUUGCACCGAUGGCAACUUACUUGAAGGAUCUUACUCAAUCCAUAGGUAGAUAUGGUGGACUCUCAUGGCAAAACUGGGUUUAAGGAUAUUUGGAAGCACAAGUAGUAUCUCUACUUGGUGCUAGGAAUUUUGGCUAGCAUUAGGGGGAAAGGCAAGCUCAACAUGUUUGAAUGAUCCAUGACAAUAUACUUUAACUGAUAUGUGAGAAAACAUAACCCAUUACAUUAUCUUCCUUGUCCAACAUCAACUCUUUAGCAUGUCAAACUUAAUGAGUGCUCACAAUUAUAAAAGAUGUCCAUGAUAAUAUAUUUAUAUGUGAAAUCUCUCUUCCUUCAAUAUUCUUUCAUGAAUUGUUCAAAUGACCAAUACAAUGCUUGCUAACCGUCAAUAAAUGUACAACCUCUACUUCUUAGAUGUGAAGUCCUUACUCCCCAUGGGAUAAGCGAAUGAAACAUAUAUAAUUUCAGAUUUAUGACAUUCAAUUCAUUCAACCAUUUACUCAUAGGAUAUAAGUGAAGCACACGAGUAAAUGACAAACUACUCCAACAAGAUAUAAGUGAAGAUCAAUGAGUAGCUAAAUAAUUGUGUAACUAUGUGAAGACUCUCUCCCAUUAAAAGAAUUUCAGAUCUUGGUAUUGUAUUCAAACAACAAGCAAAGCAAAACAAAAUAACAUUACAAGGAUAGAACAACUCAUGUGAAGAAGCAAAAACUUAGGUUCAACCGAUACUAACCGUUAAUUGUUGAAGAAGAAAGGUGGGGUGCCUACCGGGGCAUCCCCAAGCUUAGAUGCUUGAGACUUCUUGAAAUAUUAUCUUGGGGUGCCUUGUGUUGGAGAAUGUUGCAUAAAAUAAAAAAAUUCCUACGUUCACCAAGAUCAAUCUAUGAGUUCAUCUAGCAACGAGAGAGAGGAGUGCAUCUACAUACCCUUGUAGAUCGCGAGCGGAAGCGUUCAAGAGAACGGGGUUGAGGGAGUCGUACUCGUCGUGAUCCAAAUCACCGGAGAUCCUAGCGCCGAACGGACGGCACCUCCACGUUCAACACACGUACAGUCAGCAUGACGUCUCCUCCUUCUUGAUCCAGCAAGGGGGAAGGAUAGGUUGAUGAAGAUCCAGUAGCACGACGGCGUGGUGGUGGAUGCAGCAGGGUUCCGGCAGGGCUUCGCCAAGCAACUACGGAAGGGAGAGGUGUAGCAGGGAGGGGAGGGAGGCGCCAGGGUGUUGGGUGCAGCUGACCUCCCACCCUCCCUCUUUAUAUAGGGACCCCAGAGGGGCGUCCCUAGAGAUGGGAUCUCUAGGGGGGACGGCGGCCAAGGGGGUGGAGUGCCCCCCAAGGCAAGUGGAGGCGCCCCCUCCCCUAGGGUUCCCAACCCUAGGCGCAGAGGGGGGCCCAGGGGGGGGGCGCACCAGCCCACUAGGGGCUGGUUACUCUCCCACUUCAGCCCAUGGGGCCCUCCGGGAUAGGUGGCCCCACCCGGUGGACCCCCGGGACCCUUCCGGUGGUCCCGGUACAAUACCGGUGGACCCCGAAACUUUCCCGAUGGCCGAAACUCGACUUCCCAUAUAUAAUUAUUUACCUCCGGACCAUUCCGGAAGUCCUCGUGACGUCCGGGAUCUCAUCCGGGACUCCGAACAACUUUCAGUUUGCUGCAUACUCAUAUUCAUACAACCCUAGCGUCACCGAACCUUAAGUGUGUAGACCCUACGGGUUCGGGAGACAUGUAAACAUGACCGAGACGGCUCUCCAGUCAAUAACCAACAGCGGGAUCUGGAUACCCAUGUUGGCUCCCACAUGCUCCUCGAUGAUCUCAUCGGAUGAACCAUGAUGUCGAGGAUUUAAGCAACCCCGUAUACAAUUCCCUUUGUCAAUCGGUAUGUUACUUGCCCGAGAUUCGAUCGUCGGUAUCCCAAUACCUCAUUCAAUCUCGUUACCGGCAAGUCACUUUACUCGUACCGUAAUGCAUGAUCCCGUGACCAGACACUUGGUCACUUUGAGCUCAUUAUGAUGAUGCACUACUGAGUGGGCCCAGUGAUACCUCUUCGUCAUACGGAGGGACAAAUCCUAGUCUUGAUCCGUGUCAACCCAACAGACACUUUGGGAGAUACCUGUAGUGCACCUUUAUAGUCACCCAGUUACGUUGUGACGUUUGGUACACCCAAAGCACUCCUACAGUAUCCGGGAGUUACACAAUCUCAUGGUCUAAGGAAAAGAUACUUGACAUUGGAAAAGCUCUAGCAAACGAACUACACGAUCUUUGUGCUAUGCUUAGGAUUGGGUCUUGUCCAUCACAUCAUUCUCCUAAUGAUGUGAUCCCGUUAUCAAUGACAUCCAAUGUCCAUAGUCGGGAAACCAUGACUAUCUGUUGAUCAACGAGCUAGUCCACUAGAGGCUCACUAGGGACAUGUUGUGGUCUAAGUAUUCACACGUGUAUUACGAUUUCCGGAUAAUACAAUUAUAGCAUGAAUAAAAGACAAUUAGGAAAUAUAAUAAUAAUCCUUUUAAUAUUGCCUCUAGGGCAUAUUUCCAACAGUCUCCCACUUGCACUAGAGUCAAUAAUCUAGUUAAUUAUGAUGAAUCGAACACCCAUAGAGUUCUGGUGUUGAUCAUGUUUUGCUCGCGGAAGAGGUUUAGUCAACGGAUCUGCGACAUUCAGAUCCAUAUGUACUUUGCAAAUAUCUAUGUCUCCAUCUUGAACAUUUUCACGGAUGGAGUUGAAACGACGCUUGAUGUGCCUGGUCUUCUUGUGAAACCUGGGCUCCUUGGCAAGGGUAAUAGCUCUAGUGUUGUCACAGAAGAGAGUGAUUGGCCCCGACGCAUUGGGUAUGACUCCUAGGUCGGUGAUGAACUCCUUCAUCCAUAUUGCUUCAUGCGCUGCCUCCGAGGCUGCCAUGUACUCCACUUCACAUGUAGAUCCCGCCACGACGCUCUGCUUGCGACUGCACCAGCUUACUGCUCCAUGAUUCAACAUAUACAUGUAUCCUGUUUGUGACUUAGAGUCAUCCAGAUCUGUGUCGAAGCUAGCAUCAACGUAACCCUUUACGACAAGCUCUUCAUCACCUCCAUAAACGAGAAACAUGUCCUUUGUCCUUUUUAGGUACUUCAGGAUAUUCUUGACCGCUGUCCAGUGUUCCUUGCCGGGAUUACUUUGGUACCUUCCUACCAAACUUACGGCAAGGUUUACAUCAGGUCUGGUACACAGCAUGGCAUACAUAAUAGAUCCUAUGGCCGAGGCAUAGGGGAUGACACUCAUCUCUUCUUUAUCUUUUGCCAUGGUCGGGCAUUGAGCCGAACUCAAUCUCACACCUUGCAAUACAGGCAAGAACCCUUUCUUGGACUGAUCCAUUUUGAACUUCUUCAAAAUCUUAUCAAGGUAUGUGCUUUGUGAAAGACCUAUGAGGCGUCUCGAUCUAUACCUAUAGAUCUUGAUGCCUAAUAUGUAAGCAACUUCUCCAAGGUCCUUCAUUGAAAAACACUUAUUGAAGUAGGACUUAAUGUUGUCCAAAAGUUCUAUAUCAUUUCCCAUCAAAAGUAUGUCAUCUACAUAUAAUAUGAGAAAUGCUACAGAGAUCCCACUCACUUUCUUGUAAACGCAGGCUUCUCCAUAAGUCUGCAUAAACCCAAACGCUUUGAUCAUCUCAUCAAAGCAAAUGUUCCAACUCCGAGAUGCUUGCACCAGCCCAUAAAUGGAUCGCUGGAGCUUGCACACCUUGUUAGCAUUCUUAGGAUCGACAAAACCUUCUGGCUGCAUCAUAUACAGUUCUUCCUCAAGACAGCCAUUAAGGAAUGCCGUUUUGACGUCCAUCUGCCAUAUCUCAUAAUCAUAGUAUGCGGCAAUUGCUAACAUGAUUCGGACAGACUUCAGCUUCGCUACGGGAGAGAAAGUCUCAUCAUAGUCAACACCUUGAACUUGCCGAUAACCCUUAGCGACAAGUCGAGCUUUAUAGAUGGUAAUAUUACCAUCCGCGUCCGUCUUCUUCUUAAAGAUCCAUUUGUUUUCUAUCGCUCGCCGAUCAUCGGGCAAGUCUGUCAAAGUCCAUACUUUGUUUUCAUACAUGGAUUCUAUCUCGGAUUGUAUGGCUUCAAGCCAUUUGUUGGAAUCUGGGACCGCCAUCGCUUCUUCAUAGUUCGAAGGUUCAUCGUUGUCUAACAACAUGAUUUCCAGAACAGGGUUGCCAUACCACUCUGGUGUGGAACAUGUCCUUGUGGACCUACGAAGUUCAGUAGCAACUUGAUCCGAAGUACCUUGAUCAUCAUCAUUAAUUUCCUCUCCAGUCGGUGUAGGCACCACAAGAACAUUUUCCUGAGCUGCACUACUUUCCGGUUCAAGAGGUAGUACUUCAUCGAGUUCUACUUUCCUCCCACUUACUCCUUUCGAGAGAAACUCUUUUUCCAGAAAGGAUCCGUUCUUGGCAACUAAAAUCUUGCCUUCGGAUCUAAGGUAGAAGGUAUACCCAAUGGUUUCCUUAGGGUAUCCUAUGAAGACGCAUUUUUCCGACUUGGGUUCGAGCUUUUCAGGUUGAAGUUUCUUGACAUAAGCAUCGCACCCCCAAACUUUUAGAAACGAGAGCUUAGGUUUCUUCCCAAACCAUAAUUCAUACGGUGUCGUCUCAACGGAUUUAGAUGGUGCCCUAUUUAAAGUGAAUGUAGCUGUCUCUAGAGCGUAUCCCCAAAAUGAAAGCAGUAAAUCGGUAAGAGACAUCAUAGAUCGCACCAUAUCCAAUAGAGUGCGAUUACGAUGUUCGGACACACCAUUACGCUGAGGUGUUCUAGGCGACGUGAGUUGUGAAACGAUUCCACAUUUUCUUAAGUGCGUACCAAAUUCAUGACUUAAAUAUUCUCCUCCACGAUCUGAUCGUAAGAACUUUAAUUUUUGAUCACGUUGAUUCUCUACUUCAUUCUGAAAUUCCUUGAACUUUUCAAAGGUCUCAGACUUGUGUUUCAUCAAGUAGACAUACACAUAUCUACUUAAGUCAUCAGUGAGAGUGAGAACAUAACGAUAUCCUCCGCGAGCCUCAACGCUUAUUGGACCACACAUAUCAGUAUGUAUGAUUUCCAAUAAGUUGGUUGCUCGCUCCAUUGUUCCGGAGAACGGAGUCUUGGUCAUUUUGCCCAUGAGACAUGGUUCGCAUGUGUCAAAUGAUUCAUAAUCGAGAGACUCUAAAAGCCCAUCAGCAUGGAGCUUCUUCAUGCGCUUGACACCAAUGUGACCAAGGCGGCAGUGCCACAAGUAUGUGGGACUAUCGUUAUCAACUUUACAUCUUUUGGUAUUCACACUAUGAAUAUGUGUAACAUUACGUUCGAGAUUCAUUAAGAAUAAACCAUUGACCAUUGGGGCAUGACCAUAAAACAUAUCUCUCAUAUAAAUAGAACCACCAUUAUUCUCGGAUUUAAAUGAGUAGCCAUCUCGCAUUAAACGAGAUCCAGAUACAAUGUUCAUGCUCAAACUUGGCACUAAAUAACAAUUAUUGAGGUUUAAAAUAAUCCCGUAGGUAAAUGUAGAGGUAGCGUGCCGACGACGAUCACAUCGACCUUGGAACCAUUCCCGACGCGCAUCAUCACCUCGUCCUUCGCCAGUCUCCGCUUAUUCCGCAACUCUUGCUGUGAGUUACAAAUAUGAGCAACGGCACCGGUAUCAAAUACCCAUGAGUUACUACGAGUACUGGUAAGGUACACAUCAAUUACAUGUAUAUCAAAUAUACCUUUAGUGUUGCCGGCCUUCUUGUCCGCUAAGUAUUUGGGGCAGUUCCGCUUCCAAUGACCCUUCCCUUUGCAAUAAAAGCACUCAGUCUCAGGCUUGGGUCCGUUCUUUGACUUCUUCCCGGCAACUGGCUUACCGGGCGCGGCAACAUCUUUGCCAUCCUUCUUGAAGUUCUUAUUACCCUUGCCCUUCUUGAACUUGGUGGUUUUAUUGACCAUCAACACUUGAUGUUCUUUCUUGAUUUCUACCUCUGCUGACUUCAGCAUUGAAAAUACUUUAGGAAUAGUUUUCACCAUCCCCUGCAUAUUGUAGUUCAUCACAAAGAUCUUGUAGCUCAGUGGGAGCGACUGAAGGAUUCUGUCAAUGACCGCCUCGUCCGGGAGGUUAAUGUCCAGCUGGGAUAGGCGGUUGUGCAACCCAGACAUUUUGAGUAUGUGCUCACUGACAGAACUGUUUUCCUCCAUCUUACAACUAUAGAACUUGUCGGAGACCUCAUAUCUCUCGACCCAGGCAUGAGCUUGGAAAACCAUUUUCAGCUCCUCGAACAUCUCAUAUGCUCCGUGUUGCUCAAAACGCUUUUGGAGCCCCGGUUCUAAGCUGUAAAGCAUGCCGCACUGAACGAGGGAGUAAUCAUCAGCACGUGACUGCCGAGCGUUCAUAACGUCUUGGUUCUCUAGGAUGGGUGCUUCACCUAGCGGUCCUUCUAGGACAUAUGCUUUCUUGGCAGCUAUGAGGAUGAUCCUCAGGUUCCGGACCCAGUCCGUAUAGUUGCUGCCAUCAUCUUUCAGCUUGGUUUUCUCUAGGAACGCGUUGAAGUUCAUGUUGACAUGAGCGUUGGCCAUUUGAUCUACAAGACAUAUUUUGCAAAGAUUUUAGACUAAGUUCAUGAUAAUUAAGUUCAUCUAAUCAAAUUGUUUAAUGAACUCCCACUCAGAUUUGACAUCCCUAUACUCAUCUAAGUGUUACAUGAUCCGAGUCGACUAGGCCGUGUCCGAUCAUCACGUGAGACGGACUAGUCAUCAUCGGUGAACAUCUCCAUGUUGAUCGUAUCUUCCAUACGACUCAUGUUCGACCUUUCGGUCUCUGUGUUCCGAGGCCAUGUAUGUACAUGCUAGGCUCGUCAAGUUAACCCUAAGUGUUUUUGCAUGUGUAAAACUGUCUUACACCCGUUGUAUGUGAACGUAAGGAUCUAUCACACCCGAUCAUCACGUGGUGCUUCGAAAUGACGAACUUUAGCAACGACACACAGUUAGGGGGAACACUUUCUUGAAAUUAUUAUAAGGGAUCAUCUUAUUUACUACCGUCGUUCUAAGUAAACAAGAUGCAUAAACAUAAUAAACAUCACAUGCAAUUAUAUAGUAGUGACAUGAUAUGGCCAAUAUCAUAUAGCUCCUUUGAUCUCCAUCUUCAGGGCUCCAUGAUCAUCUUCAUCACCGGCAUGACACCAUGAUCUCGAUCAUCAUGAUCUCCAUCAUCGUGUCUCCAUGAAGUUGCUCGCCAACUAUUACUUCUACUACUAUGGCUAACGGUUUAGCAAUAAAGUAAAGUAAUUACAUGACGCUAAAUCAUUGACACACAGGUCAUACAAUAAUUAAGACAACUCCUAUGGCUCCUGCCGGUUGUCAUACUCAUCGACAUGCAAGUCGUGAUUCCUAUUACAAGAACAUGAUCUCAUACAUCACAAUAUAUCAUUCAUCAUUCAUCACAACUUUUGGCCAUAUCACAUCACAAAGCAAUUGCUGCAAAAACAAGUUAGACGUCCUCUAAUUGUUGUUUGCAUCUUUUACGCGGCUGCAAUAGGGUUCUAGCAAGAACGUUUUCUUACCUAUGAAUAACCUUAACGUGAUUUGUCAACUUCUAUUUACCCUUCAUAAGGACCCUUUUCAUCAAAUCCGCUCCAACUAAAGUGGGAGAGACAGACACCUGCUAGCCACCUUAUGCAACUAGUGCAUGUCAGUCGGUGGAACCUGUCUCAUGUAAGCGUACGUGUAAGGUCGGUCCGAGCCACUUCAUCCCACAAUACCGCUGAAGCAAAAUAAGACUAGUAGUGGCAAGAAAGUUGACAACAUCUACGCCCACAACAGAUUUGUGUUCUACUCGUGCAAUAGAGAACUACGCAUAGACCUAGCUCAUGAUGCCACUGUUGGAGAACGUUGCAUAAAAUAAAAAAAUUUCCUACGUUCACCAAGAUCAAUCUAUGAGUUCAUCUAGCAAUGAGAGAGAGGAGUGCAUCUACAUACCCUUGUAGAUCGCGAGCGGAAGCAUUCAAGAGAACGGGGUUGAGGGAGUCGUACUCGUCGUGAUCCAAAUCACCGGAGAUCCUAGCGCCGAAUGGACGGCACCUACGCGUUUAACACAUGUACUGUCAGCGUGACGUCUCCUCCUUCUUGAUCCAGCAAGGGGGAAGGAGAGGUUGAUGAAGAUCCAGCAGCACGACGACGUGGUGGUGGAUGCAGCAGGGCUCCGGCAGGGCUUCGCCAAGCAACUACGGGAGGGAGAGGUGUAGCAGGGAGGGGAGGGAGGCGCCAGGGUGUUGGGUGCGGCUGCCCUCCCACCCCCCCUCUUUAUAUAGGGACCCCAGGGGGGCGCCGGCCCUAGAGAUGGGAUCUCUAGGGGGGCGGCCAAGGAGGGUGGAGUGCCCCCAAAGGCAAGUGGAGGCGCCCCCUCCCCUAGGGUUCCCAACCCUAGGCGCAGAGGGGGGCCCAGGGGGGGCGCACCAGCCCACUAGGGGCUGGUUCCCCUCCCACUUCAGCCCAUUGGGCCCUCCGGGAUAGGUGGCCCCACCCGGUGGACCCCCGGGACCCUUCUGGUGGUCCCAGUACAAUACCGGUGGACCCCGAAACUUUCCCGAUGGCCGAAACUCGACUUCCCAUAUAUAAUUAUUUACCUCCGGACCAUUCCGGAACUCCUCGUGAUGUCUGGGAUCUCAUCCGGGACUCCGAACAACUUUCGGUUUGCUGCAUACUCAUAUUCAUACAACCCUAGCGUCACCGAACCUUAAGUGUGUAGACCCUACGGGUUCGGGAGGCAUGUAGACAUGACCGAGACGGCUCUCCGGUCAAUAACCAACAGCGGGAUCUGGAUACCCAUGUUGGCUCCCACAUUCUCCUCGAUGAUCUCAUUGGAUGAACCACGAUGUCGAGGAUUUAAGCAACCCCGUAUACAAUUCCCUUUGUCAAUCGGUAUGUUACUUGCCCGAGAUUCGAUCGUCGGUAUCCCAAUACCUCGUUCAAUCUCGUUACCGGCAAGUCACUUUACUCGUACCGUGAUGCAUGAUCCCGUGACCAGACACCUGGUCACUUUGAGCUCAUUAUGAUGAUGCACUACUGAGUGGGCCCAGUGAUACCUCUCCGUCAUACGGAGUGACAAAUCCCAGUCUUGAUCCGUGUCAACCCAACAGACACUUUCAGAGAUACCUGUAGUGCACCUUUAUAGUCACCCAGUUACAUUGUGAUGUUUGGUACACCCAAAGCACUCCUACGGUAUCCGGGAGUUACACGAUCUCAUGGUCUAAGGAAAAGAUACUUGACAUUGGAAAAGCUCUAGCAAACGAACUACACGAUCUUUGUGCUAUGCUUAGGAUUGGGUCUUGUCCAUCACAUCAUUCUCCUAAUGAUGUGAUCCUGUUAUCAAUGACAUCCAAUGUCCAUAGUCAGGAAACCAUGACUAUUUGUUGAUCAACAAGCUAGUCAACUAGAGGCUCACUAGGGACAUGUUGUGGUCUAAGUAUUCACACGUGUAUUACGAUUUCCGGAUAAUACAAUUAUAGCAUCAAUAAAAGACAAUUAUCAUGAACAAGGAAAUAUAAUAAUAAUCCUUUUAUUAUUGCCUCUAGGGCAUAUUUCCAACACCUUGGGCAUCCCCAAGCUUGAGCUUUUGUGUCUCCUUAAUUCCUUUCAUAUCACGGUUUCUCUAUUUCUCAAAAGCUUCAUCCACACCAAACUCAACAAGAACUCGUGAGAUAAGUUAGUAUAAAACAAUGCAAAACCUUAUCAUUUUCUACUGUAACAAAUUACUAACAUUAUUAUUCAACAUUGUAUAUUAAAUUUUUCUGCAUAUUUAAUACUCCUAUCCUCAAAUAGAAACAUUAAACAAGCAAGCAUCUGCAAACAAUGCAAACAUAACAGCAAUCUGCCAAAACAGUAUAGUCUGUAAAGAAUGCAAGAUUCAUCAUACUUCCCUAACUCCGAAAAUUAUAAGAAAAAUACUACACUGUAAAAUAUUUAUCAGAUCUCAUUAUUCAAAAAGAUUCAACAUUAUAUCACUCACUAAAUUUUCUAGGGAAUUCUUGCAACAGCGGUAAACUUUCUAUUUCAAACAGCAACAUGUAUACUAGCAAAAUAAGCAUGGUAAAGGAUAUCCUUGACAUUUUUAUUGAAAAUUAAGAUGCAAAACAUUUUUCUAAAUAAAAUAAAGCAAAUACUAAAAAAAAAAUUACUCUCCAAGCAAAACACAUAUCACGUGGCAAAUAAAAAUAUAGCUCCAAGUAAAGUUACCGAUGAACAAAGACAAAAGAGGGG